RNAcentral lists this long non-coding RNA (61792 nucleotides) under Amborella trichopoda. RNAcentral describes it as "long non-coding RNA (ATRI_LNC004467)". The record is from RNAcentral. Lineage: Eukaryota; Viridiplantae; Streptophyta; Magnoliopsida; Amborellales; Amborellaceae.
UUUCUCUUCUCUAUUCUCUAAUCUAGAAAUACAAAAUUACAUUUUCCAAAGGCUAUAAGGUUUUAAAAAUAAUAUAAUUUUUGAAAUUAGACCUAGUAUUUUUCUAAUAAAAAAAAAAUGCUAAUAUUUGACUCUCCAUUGUUCUAAGAAGGCAUUCACAUGGAAGAUCGAGCCUAAAUGGGAUGGUCAUUGUAUAAAAAAAAAGGCCUUUUAACGCAAAGAAAAUAUUACGGCCUUUUAACGCAAAGAAAAUAUUUUUUAAUUGUAUUUUAUUUCUUUUUAUUUUUAUUUAACGCAAAGAAAAUAGUUGUAUAUUCUAAUUGUAAAAUUGCCAAAAAUAAAAAGAAAUAAAAUACAAUUAAAAAUAUAAUUUAAUAUUUCUAUCUAUUAAAUAUCCCAUAAUAAAAAUAUUAUAUCAUAAUAAAUUUCUAUUUCAAGAAUUGUUAUUGAAAAAUACAUUCAAAUAAAAAUAGCAAUAAAUAAAAAAAAUUAAUUAUAUCAUAUAAAUUCUAUAGUAUUAAUUAAAUAAUACAAUUGAAAUCAUAAUAAUUACAUAUAAUAGGUAAUAUCUUUUUAAUGAGUUGUUCGAUAUUAGAAACACUGAACAACAUGUCUUUUUAGUUUUAUUAGAACUAAACAAGCCCUUACUAAUAGAGAUGGCCAAAAAAUUGUGGGAUUCCCCACGUGUUUGGUAUUUGAAAUGCCAGAUAGGUGGCCUAUUCGAACAUAGAAAAAGGGUCGCAGGCCUAUUCGAACAUAGAAAAAGGGUCGCAGGGUGCAGGUGGUCUCCAUGUAAUUUUGGUGAAUGUUCAACUUAUGUACCAUAAUAAUGCUUUUGAAAAAGGAGUCCAAAAGUAAUUUUUCCACAAAAAAAAAAUCACUGGCGAAAUUAUUCUUGAAUUACAUGCAUAUUUUUUAAAAAAAUAUUUUCAUUAAAAUAAAAUGAUCAAAAUGGCCCUGAAAAUGUUAAGGGUAAUUGGUCAUUCUAUUCUUUUAGAAAUAUUUUUAACUAUUUUUUUAGGUGCGCCCAAUUGAGAUGAUGUCAAGUACCAAAUUUCAUAUUAAUGGGAUUUGUAAUAAAAAAAAAAUGAAACAUCCUGAGACGUUGGAUCCGGAUCAAGUCAAUGACUCACUUGAUCUAAACUGGACAGUUGGAUUGUUGGGGGAAGGGGAAUAUAAAGUAUAGAAAGCUUUCCCUUACAUCCCUUGCAUGAUAAUAUCCUGGGUCCUUUUUGUCAUUCAUUAAAUUGGGUGAUAGCACAAGUUGCCUUUUAAUUCAUGCAAAACCACCACAUAAAACAUGGGGACAUUUAACUCUCACAUCAUCAACUAGAAUAGGGCCAUCUAAACAAAAUUGCACCAGAAAUGGUUGGUUUGGCACCACCUUAAAAUUUGUUCCUAUUGUUUACCAUGAAAUUUAAAACUCCAAAUGUAGUGUUACCAAAAUUUGUUCUCACCGUUUGCCAUAAAAUUUAAAACUUCAAAUGUGAGUGACAAGAUAAGAAGUGAUAGAAAUUUGUCAAAAAAAAAAGAUAAGAAGUGAUAGAAUUCCAAAUAAAUAUAUUAGCAAGAAUUUAAGUGUGGUGCCAAUAUACAAUAAGAUGUGAAAAAGUAGACUUGGGUGGGUUGGCCAUGUGCAACGUAGACCUGAGAGUUUGUUCAAGUGGAAAGCUUAAAAGGCACAAGGGGUAUGCCCAAGAGGACGUAGUUGGAAGUAGUGAGAAAAGAUAUGGGGACUUACAGCCUCACUGAAAGUAUAGCCUUUGAUAGAAAAAAAACAGCAGCUCAAAAUUUAUGUAGCCAACCCCAAUCAGUUGGAAAAAAGCUCUAAUGAUAAUGAUGAUGAAAGGUGGUACAGAUUGAUCAAAUCUAUUACUACUUCAAUACUUCAAGAUUGAUCAAAUCUAUUACUACUUCAAUACUUCAAAAUGGACAGUAAUGUAAUGUGUUACAAGAUACAGUAAUUUACAAUUUAAAAUCAUUUUUCUUAAUAUCACGAGAUCAAGAUGAUCAAUCUGUCCUUUCAAUUUUUUAGAUGUGCCUCAUAUUUUAUUCAACUUCUAUAAACUUUUCAUUAUAUUUUUAUCCACAGUCCAUCUGAUCCUCACAUGUUACCAAAUGUAGAAGAUAAAUUACUAAAGUUUGAAGUAGGGUUUCUUCACAAUCAUUUCACCUCAGCAAUAAUCAAUCUUUAGAUUAGUUGGGGUUUCUUUCACAAUCAUUCCAUUCAAUACAUACUUUUAAUGUUGUGGAUGAAGGUUUUGUUUAGUUAGGAUGGGCCCUAGCACCCACAUUGAGGGCCCACGAUGUGUUAAAAAUUGACAAAUAUUGACACCCGUUGCAUGCGAAAUAAUUGGGAAAAGGACAUAUGAUCCAUUUGGUGGACCACUCAAGGCGGCCUUUUCUUGUUGAAAUCUUGGCAUAGAAGACAACUCUUCAUGCUUCACAUGCCUCAUUGACCACGUGGGUGGCUCCUGUGAGCAAAGCAAUGGCUUCAAGUAACCAAAAGAAAGAAGCAAUGAAGAAAAGGAAAGAAAAGUGAAGACAGGGAAAGAAACAAUGAAGAAAAGGAAAGCAAAGUGAAGAGAGAAAGAAUGAAGAAAGAGAAAGCAAAGUUGAGAGAGAGACGGAAAAAUGAAUAAGAGAAAGCUUAGGUCCGAGCAAAACAAUAUUUAGAAAAAAUCGGAGCAAGGGAUCAAACUGGUCACCCAUCGGUUUUAAAUUGAUGGGCUGAUUAUGAGAUCCAGCUUGGCUCGCUAAGCUAUUUUUUCAAAAAUAUAAAAAUUUUAAAUAUAAGUAUUAGUUGUUUAAAGAUUUUAAAUAUAAGAUUGUAACUUUAUAUUAUAGAAAUAAGGUGCAUCUUAAAAAUCUAGUAAAAAAAUAUCAUUUUAAAGUUGGAAAACCUUCCAGAUCAUCUCGACCUCUCGUGUAGAUAUAGAAAAUAAUAAUAAUAAAUCCUAAAAAUAGUUAUAAAAAGUUAUCAUGACCUUCUAUCUUCAAAAUCGUAAAGUGUGCAUUAUUUUUGAAUUUUGAAGUUUCAUAAUUAGGGUUGAACAUAGAUCUUUAAGCUAUUGUAAGAUUUUCAAUAUUGGAAACAUACUUCAGUCAAAUUUAGAGGUGCGUCUUAUUUUUUGGGUGCAGAAAAGAAGGUUCAAAAUACUCACAUUACUUUGAAUAUAAUAUAAAUUAAUAAAAGGAAAAAGUUUAUAUAAUUUUGGUACUUUAAAAUGUAGAAUUAAGGUGCAGCUCUAAAAUCCUUCGAAAAAAGUUAUUUUGAUAUUAAAAAUAUAUCUAAUUGAUCUUCUUGACAUCAAUAUGAAAUUAAAAAAGAUAUUUCAAGUCUUAAAAAUAAUAAAUCUUGCACCGCAUUACCUAGACCAUCAAUUUUCAAGAUUUUCAUGUGUUUAUAGAUCUGCUUGAUUUGAACCAUGUUUGGAAUUUAAAAAUAUAUAAUUAGAGAUAAAAAUAUAUUACAUCUCAUGACAAAGUUUGGUUGUACACUUUCGAUUAUUCAAGGUUGCAACCUUAUGCAAACCACGAUAAAAAUACAAAUAUUUGGGGGGAACAUAGUCAUAAUCCCUAUCCAAUAAGUAUUCAAACAGCCCUCACCGGUCCCGAGCCAACUUAUGCGAUUCCAAACUAGCUCAGCAAACUUCAAGAACUUGACUUGAAGUUGCGAGCUAAUCACCCAUGUUAAUACUUAAAAGGAAAAAAUUUAUAUAAGGUUGACACUUUAAAUUGUAGAAUUAAUAUGCACCUGAAAAAUAUACGGAAAAUGUCAUUUUGACAUUAGAAAACUACCUAUUUGAGCAUCUCGACAUCGAGAUGUAUGGAUAUAAAAUAAAAUAAAAUCAAGCUAAAAAAUAGUACAUCUUAUAACACAUGAUCUAGACUGCCCAUUAUACAAAUUUUUAUAAGUUUAUAAUUAGAGGUAAACAAAGAUUCUCGAGCCAUCCUAAAAAAAUUGGAAACCCUAUAAUUGCAUCUUAUUACAUAGUUUAAAGAUACGCAUUUAAAGUUGCAGCCUUGUGGGAACCUCACCCAUACAAAAAAGGGUGCAAUUUGCAUACGGGCGCUGUAGAUGUAGAGAUAAGGUGCUCCUUCAAAUUUUAUCAUGGUAUAUAAUUUUGAUGUAAAAUGUUCUUAGGAUUAUCUCAAAAUCUAUUUUUAUAUCUAAUUAUAAAAUUUUAAAUUUAAAAAAUGGCUAAAAUCAAGUAGAUCUAUAAACAUAUGAUAAUCUUGAAAAUGGACGAUGUAGAUAAUAUGUUGUAAAAUGUACUAUUUUUUAGACUUAAAAUCUUUUUAUAUUUCCUAGUCAUAUAUCUCGAUGUUGAGAUGAUCAAUCAAAGGGUUUUUCAACGGUAAAACUUCUUUUUCCAAUGGAUUUUUUAGGGCCAUUUGUAGUUCUGCAUUAUAAGUUAGCAUCCUUAUAUAAAAAUUUUCCUACAAAAAAUCUAUGUAUUAAAAAAAGGAAAAAGUUUAUAUAAGGAUGCAACCUUAUAAUGUAGAACUACAGAUGCACCUAAAAAAUCCAUCGGAAAAGGUAGUUUUACUGUACCCUUUGAUUGAUCAUCUCAACAUCGAUACGCAUGACUAUGAAAAAUAAAAAGAUUUUAAGUCUUAGAAAUAGUUCAUUUUACAACAUAUUACCUACACCGUCUAUUUUCAAGAUUUUCAUAUGUUUAUAGAUCUAUUUGAUUUUAACCAUUUUUUAAAUUUUUUNNNNNNNNNNNNNNNNNNNNNNNNNNNNNNNNNNNNNNNNNNNNNNNNNNNNNNNNNNNNNNNNNNNNNNNNNNNNNNNNNNNNNNNNNNNNNNNNNNNNNNNNNNNNNNNNNNNNNNNNNNNNNNNNNNNNNNNNNNNNNNNNNNNNNNNNNNNNNNNNNNNNNNACAAAAAAAUCCACAUAUUAAAGAAAAUGUACCAAGAGGACUAAGAAUCCACACUAGUUGGAGUCAUAUGGGCCCAUCAAGUGUACCUUUUGUUGCAUGGAAGCGUGUGCCAUGUGCUACAAACCAUAUAAAAUUUGAAGCCAAAGUUUUAGGGUUAAAGGCAUAAGGGAAAAAUGUGGAGAUCUCAUGUGAACUCGAGACCUAAAAAAAGCUUUCAAGAUUUAGGGUUUCUCUCUCAUGUGAGGCAAAGAUCCAUAAAAGGCAUUUUUUUUUAAGAUUAGGGUUUCUCUCUCUCUUCCCCCCAUGAAGUGUUGUGCCUAUAUGCUCGUCUCUGUGAUUAGGGUUUGCCCCUCUCUUCUCCCCAGAUUAGGGUUUCUCUCUCUCUUCCCCCCAUAAAGUACCAUAUGAACCAUAAAAGGCUCUUUUUCAAGAUUAGGGUUUCUCUCUCUCUUUCCCCCCAUAAAGUAUUGUGCCCAUAUGCUUGUCUCUGAAACAAAGUCUUUAGAUUCUAGAGAGAGAGAGAGAGGAUAACAUUAUCAAUGAAGUGGCUCAUUGGAUAAUGCCAGUAAAAAGCAGCCUCUUUAUCCACUAUUUUUUCACACAUACAAAAAUCAACAAGCCUCCAAGCCUCUCCUCACACUAUCCAAUAAGAGGUCUCAUUCCCAUGUGGAUACCAAUCAAGAUCAUCCACGUGUCAUUACAUCUCCUCAUUUAUAGGUGGGUUCAUUUAACCUUGCACCUAAGCUUAUUGACAAGAAUCAUGUCUCCAUUAACAUGAAAAUACAAAACAAUGGUUUAAAAGGAAAGGAGAUAAUGAGCCCACCUUAACUAAGGAACUCAAGCUUUAUUUUAUCCUUUAUUUUCUUUAUUGUUGCUUUAUACGAUCCUUUUUCUAGUUAUAUGAGAUAAUGAGAUAUUAGUUAUUGUCAACUUUGAUAAGGGGGGAUUCCUCCAAACCAUGGGGUUUGAUGAAUAAUUUGUUUGCGUUUGAUUAUUUGAAAUGCGGGAUAGUAAGGUUAAGCUUAUUGGGUGUGGUUCAUAGAAGGCCCCACUUUGAACAAUUAAAGUAAGGUGCACUGCUAAACACUGUCGAAAGAUGUUGUUUUGGUAUUGAAAAUCUUUAUGACGCUCUGAUAAAUCUAUUAUUUUUAAUUAUAAAAUUUUAAACUUUAAAAAUGAUGCAAAUCGAGUACAUCUAAAAGCAAUUAGAUUUUUUUGAAAAUCAUUAGCAUCAUUAUCGUCUAAAUCUUAUCUCAACUAUUUGGAGUCGGCUACAUGAAUCAUGUUCUGUCGAGAGCCGUACUCUCAGUCGGGCUAUAAGUCAACAUAUCUUUGCUCACUACUUUCGCCUAUGUUCUCUUGAGCCUUUCUCUGGCCCUUUGUGAUCCUUCACUUGAACCAAAUCACCUUUCUAAUCGAUCUUCGCUGCACACGCUGGCCUACCUAAAACUGCUUUCUUUCAUCUAAUCGCUUAAUGGAGCCAUCCCCAAGUUACCUUGAAUAUAUAUAUUAUAAAUUUCAUUCUUUCUUGUCUUGCGACUUAUCCAUUUCAACAUCUUCAUCUAAAUAUGUCGGUUCUUGAUCGCCCAACAAUUUGUAUUAUAAAGUCAGCUGGUCUUAUAGCCGUCCUAUAUAACUUUUCUUUCAAUUUCAUUAGUUUACGACAAUCACAUAAACUCCAGACGUGUAUAUUCACUUCGACCAGAUCUAAUUCUAUUCACAACAUCUCCCUCAAUCUCUCUAUUCUCUUAAAUUAUUGAUUUAAGAUAUUGAAAAUGAUCUCUUUUAGGUAUUUUUUGACUAUCAAUCUUAACUGCUUGUAAAUCUUGAAAAUAAACUAUCCGAACAAGUUGUUGCAAUAGCACUGUUAAUAGAACUUAAAAUCCAUUUCUUGUCGUAUUAACGCAUUUGGAUUCUAAGAUGUUCAAUUGGAGACAUACGAGUUAUUGCUUUGAUUGACUGCUUAUAUAAAAAAAUUUAUUCUUGAAAAGAAGUUUAAAGGAACAAUAUCUAACUUUAAAAUAAAAAAAUAAAAAAUUUGAAAGAGGGAAAAUAUCUAACGUAGAAAAUUUGACAACAUAUACGUGUUUGACCCAACUUGGACUAAAAAAAGCAACAAAAAAAAAAACAAUAUCAAAUUUUGAGUCAACCGGUGCCUUAGAGAGAGAAAUAGGGCGUAAACAAACUUAGGCAUUUUCUCUCUCUAGGUUGUUAAGAUGGAAUGUGGUGUGUAACCCUAGAGAGAGCACUUGCUUCUCAUUUCUUUCCAAGCAUCAAGUGAUCAGUUCUAACACCUAGGUAUUUUCUCUCUCUAGGCUUUUAAAAGACAGUGAGAGGUGGGACCAGUGUUUUUCUGUUCCGAAGGUUGGUAAGAAGGGAGUAGGAAGUUGCAUGAAGCUAGAGGGAGAAGCUUCAUGGGAACGGUGGAUGAAGGGGUAAAAGGGAGGAAAUUUUAUGCUGAUUGAAGGGGAAAAAGGGAAGAAAUUUUAUGCUGAUUGAAGGGGAAAGAGGGAAGAAAUUUUAUGUUAACGGAACGGGAAAUUUACGGAAAAUUUUUUUUUUGUUUUGAAAUAAAAAUGAUUUUAUAUAUUUCAUAUUUUGCAUGUAGGUUGCUUGCCAAUUAAAGUGGUAGAUGAGCUGGUUUUAGAAUAUUAUAAGAAGUAUAGGAAAAAUUUUAUCGGAAUGGUUAACUGGAAAUGGGGUCAGAAGCGGUUCAAUCGGCCUAAUUGGGCAAGUUCCAUGCGAUAAAAAAAAGUUUUAAAAAAUACAAAAAAAUCUAAUAGAAAAUAAAAAUUAUAUUUAAAGCAUGAUUAAACCAAACACAUCUCAAUAAACUUGAAAAUUAGUGGGAAAAAAAAUGGAUUUUAAAGAAUUUAUUGUGUAAAAGGGUAUUUUUGAAAUUUUAAAAAAACGAAAAACAUGUAAAAAUAAGUAUUAAUGGUUAAAACAAUUUCCAAUAUUUGUCAAAAUGAUGAAAAACAUUUAAAAAAAUGCAUUACAAACAAAAUCCCUUACUUUUUGAGAUUUCAUAUAUUUUUUUGAAUUUUUUAAAUACCCAACCAGUUCACCAAAAUUGGCCGCAAUCAAAAUUGGCCAAUGGUUAGUUCCGAUCUAACGGGACUGUUAGAAUUUGAACCGCCCAAAUUUUCCUACACUACUUGUAAGACAAUUGGGCAUUAGAGCAUUGAGAUGAUCUUUCGAUAGUACGAGAGGACCGGAAGGAUGCAUCUCAGUGUACCAGUUGUCGUGCCUAUAGAGCAUAAAAAAUAUUAAACUCUCUUUCUAUCAAUUAAGAUUAAGCUCAAUUUUGGCAUGUCCAUACUUCUUAUAUGGUAUUUAUAAAAUAUUUAAAACUAAUUUAAACUAGUUUAGGUGAUAUUGUAAUAAUGCUAAAAAAUAGAUAUAUGUCUAAUUUUCUCUUAAUAUUAUUAUUUUUUAAACGAUCUUUUAAUGUUUUUUUUUAAAGAUUUGUAUUGGUGAGAAGUAUGAACAUAUAAUUUACUUUUAAAAAAACAGAGAAAAAUAACCUGCUUCAGUUUAAAUAAUAAGCCGAUUUCUAAUCCCAAUUAAAGCUCGUACAAGGCAACCAGCACACAUUGUUGUGGACGAACUUGAUUUUCUUCCUUGAAAGAAACAUGUGCUACAGUGGGUUAUUUUAUCCUAAAAAUAAUUUUUUUUAUUUAAAAUUGAGUACAAAAAUAAAUAGAAUUGAAAUUAAUGUUAUAGCUUAAUUUUUUUUAUUUUCUAAUUUUGGAGGAACAGGGGCGGGGCAAGGAGAGGGGAGGGGAGGGUAAUAAAACUAUGUUAUCUGUCGUACAAGGAGUUGACAAACACUUGUAUUGUCCAACUGUAUAGAAUCCCAUUAGUUAUUGUUUCUUGUGAAAAACACAAAUAGUAAGAUGGUCUCGUAUAUUGUCCAACUGCAUAGAAUCCCAUUAGUUAUUGCUUCUUGUGAAAGUCACAAAUAGUAAGAUGGUCAAGUUUCACAAAUAGUAAGAUGGUCAAGUUUUCCAAGAAAAGAUUAUGGAAAAAUAUUAUGGUUUACAAAACUCGAGGCACACAGGAGGGAGUGGGGUCAUCAGAGGUGAAGAUGGAUUUUUUAUUUCUACAUUUGCAAAGCAUCUUGGAGUUGCAUACAAGAAUUAUGUUGUUUUAUGUUUUGUAAGCAGGAGUGGAUCUCGCCAUUGACAUAGAUUGUUUCUUUCUAUAAAUUGAAAGUGACUCGUCUCUACUCGUCAAUUCUAUUUGAGAUAGAUGCGGGCCCCAUGGCGUCUUCACAUUAUUGCUGCCAACUGUAGACAAUGACUUAUUAGACGUGUGGCGCAGCACACAUAUCUAUCGUGAAACCAAUAUAGUGGUCGACACUCUCUCUAAAAAUGCCACAACUUUUUUCUGAUGCCACAAUUUGGCACACUAGACCUGAAUGUAUUUCACUCUUUUUACUUCAUAAUGUUGCGCAACUGUUCUAUUGUAGGGUUAUAAAUUUAUGAGUUGCACUUUUUUCUAUAAUUAUUUAAUGAAAAAUGGAUAGGGGCCAAUCGCCCCCCUUGCUUUACACAAAAAAAUCUUUUACAUGAUCAUUAAGAAGGUCGAACAUUACAAUGGCUGAAUGUUAGCAUGUUUACUUUUUAAUUUUCAUUUACCUCAACUACAUCUUCAAAACUAUAUUUAAAAUGCUUAAUCAGGGUUGCAGCAUUAUAAUGAUUUGGACAAUCCUAACAGCGGCAUUUCAAUAACUAAACCCAUAUGAACAAGGAGCAUUUCAAUAACUAAACCCAUAUGAACAAGGAGGAAUGCUUCUAUCAUUUUGUUGGUGCCUUUAGGCUCGACAAAUUACCAAUAUGUUCUUACUUAUUCAUGGUUUCAAAUCUAGAAUGCAACCAAUUUGAACAUGUUUUAGUAAACUCUCUCAUUUAAUUAAAAAUGUUUUGACCUCUUAAUGAUUUUGCAGGAGUUUAUAGCCCCUUAAAAUUAUGCUUUUCAAUAAUUUAAAUGGUUUUGUAGUACCCCUCGAAACCCUAUUGGAAGAUGCAAUUUUUCAUGGCAGGAAAGGCUGAUAAUAGCUUUAAAUUUUAUUUUCCGCUUUUGACUAUGUAAUUUGGAGCUAAAAAAAAACAAAUAUACUGGAUUUCACAAACAUGUUAUACAAAAAGAUGGAUCUUAAAGCAUCCAUCUUAAAGAUUGAUGCUUAAAGCAUCUAGAGGUAUAAAGCAUCCAUCUUAAAGAUGGAUGCAAAUAGGUGGUCUAUCUAAGAACAAUUGUAACUAACGGUCCAAAUUUUUUCUUACUAUAAUUAUUUUUUUUAGUUUUAAAAUUUUAUUUUAUUUUUCAUAUUCAUGAUAUCCAUGUUAAAAAUUACAUAUUCUCUAAAAAUUAGGAUCAAAUUAUAUUUAAAAGUUAUAUUUAUUGUCAAGCCCGCAUUCCUACAUAUGCGGGCUUGCCCGCAUGCUACCCACGUACCAAUGAUUGAUGUUAGAGAUGAUUGAUGUGCAAGUACAUAUUUAAAUUAGGAUCGAAUUAUAUUUAUAAAAUAUAUUUAUUGUCAAUAUCACAUUUCUACAUAUGCAGGCUAAGCCGCAUGCUAACCACAUCGAAGUAAGAGAUGAUUAAUUUGCAAGUACAUAUUUUUUACCCUUGCUCCUGAAAACCCUACCACAUGCAAUUUUUAUAAGGAAAAAGUUUUUAUAACGAUGAAACCUUAUCUCUAAUGCACCUCAAAAAUCCAUCGGAAAAGAUAGUUUUAAUGUUGAAAAACUCUUUGAUUGAUCAUAUGGACAUCGGGAUAUAUGAAAUCUUUACAACAUAUUAUCUACACCGUACAUUUUCAAUAUUUUCAUAUGUUUAUAGAUCAACUCGAUUUUAAGUAUUUUUUCAGUUUAAAAUUUUAUAAUUAGGUAUAAAAAUAGAUUUUGAGAUAAUCUUAAAAACAUUUUAUAUCAAAAUUAUAUACCAUGAUUAAAUUUGAAGGUACACCUUACCUCUACUGCACCCGUAUGCCAACGGCCCUUUUCAUAAUAACCAAAAUUAACGAAAUUGAUGUGAUCCUCUAUCUAACGCCCGAAAUAUGUAUAAAUCGGACGUCUCCGAUAUCUUUUGAUAUCCUGUCUUCUAUCGUAACCGGACGUCUCCGAUAUCUUUUGAUAUCCUGUCUUCUAUCGUAACUGUCCAAACUCGAGCCUUCAAUCAAAGCAUGGUUAUGGUUAGGUAUCCAUCUGUCAUCAAAGCAGAUAUAACGGGCACCGUUAGGGCCUCAAUAAUCCUGCACAUGUCUCGUAUAACGGUUGGGACGUAACGGUAAUCCAGCGGUCUCUCCUUUUCGACGGUUCACCAUGACACCACGACAUGGAUCCAACGGACCUGAGGACGACACGUUUUAAAUAAAAAAGUGGAAGUCAAACUUAUGGAACGUUGUAAACGAGUGAAUUUUGAUUUAUUUCCACGUGAACUUCGACAAUUGUUCACGUGUGGCUCGAGGUUGUUGGCCACGAGAAAAAACCUAAUUUUCAUUUCCUUAUAUAACGCUAAUUUGUCCACCCAUGUUCUUAUUUAUCCACCCAAAACCUAAGGAGCAUAGCUCUUAAAAGGGUCAAAGAAAGAAAAAAUUAAUGCCGGUUUGGGUCUAGAUCAAGUUGAUCCUUACCGGAUUGGGUCGGUGGAAAAUUCAAGCUUCUUCUUUCGGAACUGUAGAUAUGGUUUUCUCAUUGUUCAUAUUUAUUAUUUUUUUAAACUAAUGUAGCGGAUCUGAAUACUCCAUCUAUCCAGAUUGGCAUGAUUGAUGGCUUGUAUUUUGCAGCCCAAGCCUUAGUUUGAUGUCGAGUAACACAUUAUCAACUCUAAUGCGUUUUAAAAAAGGAAAAAUAUACAAAGCGAUCGUUUACAUUGAACACAAAGACGUCAGAUUUCUAAUCAAGUGUUUAUAAACGUAUUAUUUACGAAAUGCAAAAUUUAAAACAUAUUUUUUCGAAUUUUAUGACUCACAUCAAGCCAUCCAAUUUUAAAACAAUUGUGAUAGCAUGUAACAAAGAUAAAUGAGUCCCCCCCCCCCCCCUUAUACAACCCCCUUCAACAACCCAUAAUUAAGAUACAAAAUUAGAUAGAUAACCAGGUGAUUGCAAGAGACGAAUAUGCCCAUUUAGAUUCUUAAGACUCCAUUAAAAAUGACUAAAAUACCCUCAACGAAUGGCAAUGGGAUAUUAGAAUAUGCCCAUUGAGACUCCUAAGACUCCAAUGAAAAUAACUAAAACACCUUUCAGAUUAAGCAGAGUACUCAAGCAAAUGUCAGGAUUGGUCAUAAGAUACUCAUUUUACCCAUAUCUUUUUAGAAAAACACAAUGUAGCCCAGAAUAGGGGUAUGAAUGAUGUUAUAGGACGAAAAUUUGGCCCUAAUGCUAGGACAUUUCCGUCUUUCAGCUGGUGGGCUAGAACAGUCAUUAAGUUAAAAGUAUGGGCAAUAUGAUCCACAAAACCUUGAUACGAUUAGGUGACAGUUUGAACACGGAGACCGUCGAGAGCCACACACGUGGUACGCGGAGGUCGAGCAAAAACCCAACGUUACUUGAAAGUACGAGAUUCCUUGGCUCUUAAGUAAUUACCAUUUUGUCCUUUUUAACUCCUGUACACGAGGCAGUUUGACUUGCCUUUAUCAGCUUUACCCCUCAAUUAUGUUAUCGCCAAAUGACAUUUACGUCCUAGUGCACAAGGUCGGGCAAUCAAUAAAGGAAAAAGUCCAUAGAAGGAUGCAACUUUAUAAUGUAGAAAUACGGAUUCACCUAAAAAAUCUAUCGAAAAAGAUAGUUUUAAUGUUGAAAAGCCCUUUGAUUGAUCAUCUCGACAUCGAGAUAUAUCACCAUAAAAAAUAAAAAAAUUUUAAGUCCCAUAAAUAGUGUAUUUUACAACAUAUUAUUUAAACAGUCCAUUUUCAAUAUUUUCAUAUGUUGAUAGAUCUACUUGAUUUUAACCAUUUAAAAUUUUAUAAUUAGAUAUAAAAAAUAGAUUUUGAGAUAAUUCUAAAAAUAUUUUACAUCAAAAUUAUAUACCAUGAUAAAAUUUGAAGGUGCUUACCUCCACAACUACGGAUGCAUUUGUAUGCCAACUGCACCCUCCAAUAAAAGACAAACGUAUCCCAACUAUUAUGGGUGUGGUAGGUCAUGAUAUGGAAAUUUGUUUCAUGUGGGAUGGACCGCAUUUCUACAUAUGCGGUCCAGAAAGUGUAAGCAUCCAUCUUAAAGAUGGAUGCAAGUAGGUGCUCCAUCUAAAAACAAAAGAAAUUAACGGUCCAAGUGUUUUCUUACUAUAGUUAUUAUUUUUAGUUUUAAAAUUUUAGUUAUUUAUUCGUACUCAUGAUCUCCAUGUUUGAGAUUACAUGUCCUUAAAAAUUAAGUUUUAAAAUCCAUCUCAAAAUAGAUUUAUUAAGAGACCUGCAUUUCUACAUAUGCAGGCUUGCCCGCAUAGAAACCUGGUCCUAAUAUUGGUAUGUCAAAUCUAUUUUUACAAGAUUGAUCAAAAUGGAAGUAUUUGAUAUUUUACUCAUAUUUUUACUUGUAAUUUAAAGCAUCCCAUUGCAAUAUUCAUGAUCAUGAGUUGAAAUAGUUGAAAAAUAAAAAAAUGCUAAAUGUUUGAUAUGUUAGGUUUAUUUUGAUAAAUCCCACUUUACUUCUUAUAUUUAUUUAGGUGUAAUUAAUUUUUUUGGAUUUUCCAAGUUUAGAAGACCCCUCAUCUCUUAUUAGGAGUUCUUUACAUAAGUUAAGCAUGUGGGGGACAUUAAGAUAAUAGUCCUACACUUGUUCAAAACGUUGGUUGCAUUAAUCUACAUUGUCCAUUUUAUUUAAACGGUGUAGAUUUUGAUGUUGUUUGAGAAUACAUGCCACUUUUUUAUAAUGCUUUAAAAACGCGUCAAAUCUAUACUGACCAACUAAAAUAGAUAUUAUAGAACACUACAACCUUAAUUCUAUAAAUAAGGUUGCGCCCCUAUACAAACCACACUCUAAUAUAAGAGAUUAGAAAGUAUAAAAGUUAGGAGAGUCAGGCAAUUUCAGAGUUUUCCAGCUUUGAAUUGCUUGGCUCCGGAUCCAGGCCAACUCAGCGAAUUUUUCAAGCACUAUUUUUUGGAAUUUGUUACCAUGAAGUUAUAAAAAAAGCGGCACGUAUGAAGUUCCCAAGACACAACAUGAGGUUAGGCUUGAACCACAUAUGUAUUUCAAGCGAUUAAUGUCUUCCUUGUUAGUUGUAGAAUAUAAAUGACAAUUAAAAUAACUAAGAGCAAUAAGCAUUUGGUGAUUUCAAUUAUUUAUUAGGUGAGGAUUGUAGAAGGUGGCCACAAGGCGUUGGCCAGAAGAUGUAGUCUGGUGUCAAUCCAUGUUCAACCCUAAUUAUGAAAUAUAAAUUUUUAAAAAGGUGUAAAUCAAAUAGACCUAUAGAUAUUUGAAAAUAUUGAAAAUAGACAGUCAAAGAUAACUUGUUACGAGAUGUAAUUUUUAAAGACUUGAAAUUUUUUUUUCAUUUGUUUUUUUUCAUUCAUAAAUCUCUAAGCUGAUAUGAAUAAUUGGAAGGUUUUCCGACUUCAAAACAUUCUUUUCAAUUGGAUUUUUGAUGUGCACCUUACUUCCACAGCAUAAAGUUGCCCCUUAUAUACCUUUUUUCUCUAUAGCAUAAAGUGCUUUUUCUCUAUAGCAUAAAGUUGCAACCUUAUAUACGCUUUUUCUUUAUUAAAAUGAUUAACAAAAGAGCGUAGCUCAAUGAGGUAAUGCAUUUAUCUUAUUAAACUUGUAUCUAUCGUUACUUAAGACGAAAGUAGCUUGAACUUUAAACUCAUAAUUAUUCCCAAUUUUAGCUAAUGGGAGAUCAAAUCACCUCAGAAGCCAAUCUAAGCAUAGCUUAUUUCCAACUAAAGACAGAGUCAACUAAUAAACAAGAAAGGUUUUGGACAAAUUGUUCACAUUCAAAGUUUAUAAAGUGAAAGACUUAACAUGGAUUUCAGACUAACCAAAAAGCAUAAACACCAUUAUAUAAAAAAAACUACCAAACUGGGACAAGCUUUCUCCGGCAAUUUAGUUAUAGUUUGAUUUUUCUCAAAUUGGAAUAAAUGACAAAGUUUAUAUAAGGUUGAGGCCUAAAACAAUCAAAUUAAGGCGCCCCUCAAAAAUUCACUAGAGGAAGUUGUUUCGAUGCUGAAAAACUCUCAAAUUUGAUCAUUUGAUCCUUGAGAUAAGUGAAAGAAAAAAAAAAGACUUCAAGUCUUAGAAAUAGUGCAUCUUGUAAUGUAUUAUCUAGGUCGUCAAUUUUAAAUGUUUUUAGAUCUCCUUGAUCUACUCUAUUUUUUAAGCUUUAAAUUGUAUAAUUUUAGAUAAACAACAAUUUUUGGGCCAUCAUAAAGAUUUAGGUACUAAAACAACAUCUUUCGAUACUAUUUGAUUGUACGCUUUAUUGUUUAAGGCCUCGGCCUUAUACAAAUCCCACCCUAGAAUAAAACUCUUAUAAAUUCAAAUGAAUCGUAUUUGAGAAUCUAUGUUGGAGAUAGGUUUUGGAUCUAAAAUUUUAAAGAUUUAUAAUCUCAACCACCUCGAUCAUGAAUUUUAAAAAAAUUGAUCCUGAACCAAAAAUAUAAACUAUUUUAGACUUUAUUUUUUACCUCUUAUCACUAUUCAUCUUAAAUCUUGACCAUCACCAUCAAUAGACUGUUUAGACUCAAAGUCAAUAGUCUAUUGAUUUAGUAUGAUUUACUUCUAUAUGAUAAGAAACUAGAAGUAACUUGGGAGACUUAAAGUCAAUAGUCUUUUGUUUUCUGUUUUUUUUUAACGGGACUUAAAGUCAAUAGUCAAUUGUGUAGGAUUGUAUGCGCUAAAUAUCUCAUCUAAAUACCAAUCUAUCUUUAUAUACAUAUUAAACUGCAAUUAAAGGAUGGACAAGUAUCAUUAAAAAUAAGAAAAAUUUAUCAAAAUAACCUUAAGAUAUUAGUUAUUUAAACAAUUUACCCAUUUAUAAUUAUUUCCAAAUUAUGAUCAUGUGUAUUUUGAUAAGUAUUUUACAAUUAAUUCAAAAAUAUGGGUGAAAUGUUAAAUAGCUAAUCUCUCUUGAGGAUUUAGAUAAAUUUCCCAUAAAAUGAAGGCGAAUCUGUAGGUAAAGAAAGCAUAAGGCAUGUGAUCUUCAAAGAGACCAUUUUAUUAUAUGUAAUGGUCUCUUGUAUAUUUUUCCAAUUUAACACUUUUUUAAUAUUUCAUGGAUAUUUCAUGUAAAUGACAAUACAUCUAAUAGUUUGUUUCGCUCUUUGAAUUUUAUUUUUUUGGAAAUAUUUGUUUAAUAUUUUUCACUAGUGCGAGUUUAAUAGAGGAUUGGAUGUAAAAAAAAUUGGUGUCAAAAUAGUUUAUAGAAAAAAAUAAAAAAGAAAAUAGUGCAAAGACGUGACAUUGUGAUUGGGGCAAUCUUAACCCUCUAUAUCAGAAUGGACUGUUGGAUAAGUGGGAAGUAUAUAAGUUUUAUGUUGUUGGGGAAGCAUAGAAAGCUUGCCCAAUUAGUAUAGAUUGAGUCAAUCUAGAAACACUUUAUAAUCUUAAAAAUUGACGAUCCAAAUAAUGGAUUACAAGAAGCACUAUUUCCAAAACUUGAAAUCCAUGUUUUCUCAUAUCUGUAUAUCUUGAGGUCAAGUUUAUCGAUUUGAGGAUUUUUGGACUUCGAAACAACCUCUUCUAGUGAAUUUUUGAGGUGCACCUUAAUUUGAUGGUUUGGGACCUCAUCCUUAUAUAAACUUAUUAUGUGCAAUGUACACAAAUCCACCAGUAAUACAGCCUUAUUGAGAAAAGAUUCAAGUUAUCCUAUUAUUGAUAGUUGAAUAUUAAGGUGAUAAAGUAAUUCCGCUUAUUUAGAUGAAAGAAUCAUUCAUUAUUAAGAUUUUAGGCAAUCCAUCUAUCUAUUUUAGGAGUCUCGAAACUGAAUCCCCUAUUUUUGUGUAUAAAUUACUUUUUAGAUAAAUUUGGAGAUUGUCCAAUGCUAAAUUUUAAGAAAAGGAAGUGCCAAGACAAUGCUAAUUUUGAUUACAAAUUUAAGAAGUGCUUAGGCAGUGCUAAAUUUAACUGCAAAAUUAAAAAGCAGUGCUAAGGCAAUGCUAAAUUUUGAUUCCAUAAUUAGUGUUAGGAUAAUUAAAGGACACGAGUCAUCUCGAAUGUUUACCUUUUUAUAUUUAACAUCUGCAGGAUCAAUUUUUAAUAAGGGUGUGGUUUGAAUAAGAUGCUCCCGUUAUAUUAUAUACAAGUAAGGUGCACCUUAAAAUUUGUCUGUAGUCGAGUGUCGAGAAUCUUACGAUGUCUUGAAAAUCUAUAAUCAACCAUUAUUAAAUUUAAAAUUUCAAAAUGGCACAGAUCGAGCAAAUACAUAAACAUUUGAAAACCUUGAAAAACUAUUGUGUAUAUAAUUUAUUACAAGAUGCAUCAUUAUAAUGACUAGGUUUUAUAUAUAUAUAUAUAUAUAUAUAUAUAUAUCUAUCUUAAGGUUGAAAUGAUCUAUCGGAAGGUAUUCCAACUUUAAAACACUCUUUUCUAGUGAAUUUUUGCGGUACAUCACUUUUAUAACUACAUGAUAAGGAAAAUCUUUGUAAAGGCAAGUUACAUGAAUAGAAGAGUCUUAGUAAAAACCAUAAAUGUGUUUUUUGUUUAUAUUUUUUAUAUUUACUCCUAUCUUGGGAUGGAGGCAUGGAAAUAGGAAGUUAUGGUUUAUCUUUUAGACAUAAUAGAUAGUAGUCUUUAGUAGUUAUAUUUAGGGGUGUGAAUGCAAACUCCUUUAAAAAUGAGCCCGUAAAUUGUAAUUCAGAAUUGAAUUUUAUGAAAUGAAAAUGUGUUUCUUGUAGAGAGGCCCCUUUGUAGGUGUUGUUCUUCCCUUGUGUUUAUAGGCCCGCGCCGGAAUACUCGUAUCUACGUGUGUUCAUUCUUCUUGUGAUUUCCUUAUAGAUUUUUACUUCUCUAUCUAAAACAAGGUUAUUUUUGUUGGUGUUGUUUGCCAGUAAAUUUUAUAUUAAAUAAAUGAUAAGGAAAAUCUUUGUAAGGGCCAAUUACUUGAAUAUGAGAGUAUGAGGAACCACAAAUGUGUUUUUUGUUUAUAUCUUUUAUAUUUGUUCCUAUCUUGGGAUGGAGGCAUAAAAAUAAGAAAUUAUGAUUUAUCUUUUAGACACAAUAGAUAAUAGUUUUUAGUAGUUAUCUUUAGGGGUGUGAAUGUAAACUCCUUUAAAAAAGAGCACGUGAAUUAUAAUUGACAAUUGAGUUUUAUGGAAUAAAAAAAUUGUUUCCUGUAGAGAGAGAUAUGUCCUUUUGUAGGUGUUGUUUUUUUUUUUGUUUAUAAGCCCGUGCCGAAAUACUAUUAUCUGCGCAUUUUAUUUCUUUCUUCUUGUGAUUCCGUUUUAAAUUUUUAUUUUUCACUAAAACGUAGUUAAUUUGUCGAUGCAGUAUUCACUGUAAUUUUAUAUUGUAUCACUAAUACAACUCAGCUCUUUUACUCAAGCAUGUGACGUAUUAAGGGAAAAUUUCACCCUUUUUCUUUUCAAUCCGAUAGGGGUAAAAUAGGAAAUUUUGUUGAUAUUUUCGAAUUUCUAUAUUUCCACUUGAGUACAAGUCGUACAAGUCGUUCCUAAAUAAAGGGAAAAUUUUAAAAUAGAACUCUAACUUCUCAUAGGAAACCUCAUUCCGUUUACCUUUCAAAGCAUAAGAAACCCUUAAAGUUUUCAACCGAUCCCCUUUUCUCGUAUCUCACUCAAUAAUUGAUUUUCGACUCUUCUUUUAUCUCACUUUUUAAUUGAUUUUUGACUUGACUAUAAAAAUUAGCUCAAAUAAAUGUUUUUAUAUCAUUUCAAUCCAUUUUUUUUUAAAAUUUUUAAUUUUGUUUUUUAUCGAUUAAAUUUUUUUUUGAGUUGAAAUAGUAUAAAAAGAUUUUUUGAGAUUAUUUUUUAUGAUCAAAAUAAAUAAAAGAAACAUAUAAAAAAAAAUGGGAUAUGGUGAAAUCUUUAAAGUUUUUUUAUGCCACUUAAAAUAAAAAACAGAAAAAAAAUCUACCGUAAAAUAAUACCAUGAAUUAGAAUUCCUUACGAAAUUUUCCAUUAAAUAAAAAGCCAUUUGUGGCCGUAUAUUUUCUCAUUUUAUCGGACGAAUUCCGUGGCGUCCUCGAACUCUCAUUGGCUUGUUCCUCAUUUUUCCAAACAUCCAGCCAGAUUUAUUUCACAUCAGUCUCGUUAGUAACGGUCAUUUAGACAAAAGAUUUGUGCAUUUUGGUGAUUGAAGCACAUUGGCCACUAACCCCGACAACUUACUUAUUCUCUUCAUCUCCCUCUCUCUAAAGAUCUUUCAGUUUCUCUCUCUAAAUCGUGCGAAUGUUCGCAUUUCUCUCUCUAAAAUAUGGAAAAAGCCUGACUUCUCUCCUCUCUCUCUCUAAAUCCGGACAUGUCCGUUUCUCUUUUCUAAAUUCAGGCAUUUCCUCUCCCACUUCUUCCUCAAUCUCUCUCCUCUCUCUUCCUUUCUCUCUCUAAAAACACCGACGCGUGUUCCAACGCAAGUUCUGCAUAUCCCACGAUCGUCCCCUUUAAAAGGAAACAACACAGACCUCAAAAAGAAAACCCUCGAUCACGAACCAGAUUUUCUCAAAAACCUAGAGAGAGAAGCAUUUGGAGAAGAAAACCUAGAGAGAGAAACUAAGAGAGGGGGAGAGAGAAGGUUUUCUCCGUCUUCCCUUUUUGAAUAAGGUCACCGUAAAACGAAAGCAGUAGAGAGAGAAAGGGAUAGAGCCUAGAGAGAGAGAGAAAGGGGGAGCUUGUAGCAUUUCCUUUCUCUCACUUGCGUUUUAUGCCCGGCGUUUGCCGAUCUCGCCAUCGCCAUGACCAGGCGGUGCUCUCACUGUAGCAACAACGGCCAUAACUCCAGGACCUGCCCUUCUCGAGUGGUGAGGCUCUUUGGUGUUAGGUUAACUGAUGGCUCCAUCAAGAAGAGCGCUAGUAUGGGGAACCUCACCCAUUACACGGGCUCGAAUAACCCUGGCUCAUCUCCUGAUCCCUCUGAUCCACCUGCUGUUGCAGAUGGUUAUGCUUCAGAUGAUCUAGUUCAGGCUUCUUGCUCGUCGAAUUGUCGAGAAAGAAAGAAAGGUGAGGUUUUUCUUUACUUGAAUCAAGAUAUCUUCUUCUUUCUGUAUUCGUAUGAUCAAUCUAUUGGUUUUGGUGUUAAUAUUUUCGUCAAGGUAUGUGCUUUCUUCUUGUUCUUAUUAAUCGGUUUUUUUCUUAGUUCCAUUCAUUGAGAUAUAAGAAUUUGAUUCUUUUUGUUGGUUAAUCCUUUUUCUUUUCUUUUUUUUUUAAUUUAUUUUGUAUUUUUCUAUGGAUUUAGUAAAGGUAUCAAAUUUAGAAGAAAAAUUGUGCUUUUGAAUCAUUCAUCUAGAGGGGAGGAUGGUUCAUUUUCAAUCUAGUGUCGUUUGCUAGUUUAUAACCCAGAGUUUCGGAAAGGUUCGGUGUUGCUUUCAAAAAAACAAGCAAAGGUUAGGGUGUCAAUUAAUAUGGAAUUAUAGGAUGUGAACAUAAUGGGUUUGGUAAAAAUGGCAGCUUUAAGAAAGCUUUGAGUUUCUGGGUCGAUUUGAUGGAUCAAAUUUUUUUUUGGGGUUUGGCAAAAGUAUUUGUUUAAUCAUCUCGAUUAGUUUCAUUAUUGUUUAAACCAACUCUUGAUUUGGUAAAGGCACCAUUUUAAAGAAAAAUUAAGCCUUUUUAUGGAUUGAACUCCUGGAUCUUCUAUUCAGGUUUUAGUAGAAGUCCUUUCUCAAAGGAAAGUUUGAGUUUUCCCCUUAAUUGAUUUGUUUAAUUUUUUUGGCCUUAGCAGGGCAUAGCUUCAGUAAAAUUUUCAAUGUGAAUAAGGCCUGGGUUCGGUUGGAUAAUUGAUCUUUCAAAUUUUUGUUUUCUGCUUUCCUUGAUUUGUUAAAUUAAAUGUUGGAUUUUCCAGUUGGUCCAGUAAUUGAAAAUCACACUCGUUUGAUUAAAAAUUGGUUUUAGAUAAAGAGUACUGUUGCUCCCCUCAAUCAAAUUCUCACUUUUUUCAGUUAAUUUAUCUAUUUAAAGGAAUUUUCAGGAUUAUUUAACAUUGAUUGAUAAAAACUUUUCUGCGUGCUUCUUACCUAGGUUCUUCAAAAUUAUUGUGUAAUAUUUUCUUGAUUUAUCCAUGGAUCAUAACUUUUUCCCUAUUUGUGCCUUAUAUUUGACUUCAUAAUUUUUUAAUGAGCAAUAUGGUUUCUUAACUGUUAAUACUUUGAAACCAUUUGGUGCUUCUGGCCUAGUUUCAGCUAAGUGAUCCAUUCAUUACUAGGGUUGAUCUCUUUAUUUGUGUAUUAGUUUUUUUUUUUUUCUUGACAUUUGUAAGGGUCGACAAAUUUCUGAUAACUAUAUUUGGUGUUCUGAAUAUCAAUCAGGACUUCUUUCCUUCUUUCCUAUAUCUCGUACAAAUGUCUAUUAGACAUUCAAUGUAAGGUCUGCUUAGUUAGUGCUUAAGAAAAUGACCUGCUUGUUACCCAGGCGGCGCUGGUGCCUUGAGGUGGGCCAAGGCCCUAAUCCCCCUGCUUGGGUGCUUGGAAGGGGGACCUCUUGGUGCCAAUGUAAGUGGACUAGGCGGGCACCUAGCCCCUUGGCCAAGGUGGAUGUCCUGGAGCCCCUGCGGGUGGGCCUCAUGCAUGGGAAAGAAUUGUCAAUUCUCCUCCUAAAAAGGAGGGGGGGUAACCCUGAUUCUGAUGGCUUGGCAUCAGAUGCAAGGAUGGUGAUUAUGUUGUUGAUGUUGAUGGUAGUGAUACUCAUGAUGAGGUUGUUGACCUUGAUGAUAAAUCUCAGUUUGCAAUUUGAUAUUUGAUUCUUUGGUUUGCUGUUUUGGGACUUGGGAGGGGACUCACAAAUUUUGGAGACCUAUCUUUGUUUGUAUGGUUUGUUAGUCCGUUUAAUCCAUAAGGCCUAUGCGGCCUAUUGUCCAUAUUAACAAUGUUGUAUGACUAAGCAUUUUCCUAUUUCAAGUUUGCGAGAGCUCCAAUCUUCUAUAUUUCUAAUAAUUAAAGUGACAAACUCAUGUUGUUCUUUAAAAAAAAAAAAAAUCGAAUUCAUAUGCAUGCACAAUGCAACAAUAGCACUACAUGCUAAAAAUAUCUUGCUUUCUUAAUAAAAAUCAUAAUUAGGUGGAUUUUCUAUUUUUUAAUAUUAAUUAGGGGGAUUUUGAUAUUAAUUAGGGGGAUUUUUAAUAUUAAUUAGGGGAAUUUUUUAAUAUUAAUUAGGGGGACUUUUCUAUUUUUUAAUAUUAAUUAGGGGGCUUUUCUAUUUUUUAAUAUUAAUUAGGGGGAUUUUCUAUCAAUCCCGAAAAUCCCAAACAGCAGUCAACCCUCCUGCAGUGUUUCUAGGGUGCGUUAAGAUUAAGACGCCCUUCCCUUGUUUCUGUCCAAGAUCUCUUCCCCUGUUUCUGCCCAAGAUAGAAAUUGUUUCUAUUUGUUAAUCUAGUGAUACAUUACAAUAUUUCUACCAACUCUUAACAUGUGGAACCAUAUUUCUAAAUGAAAAUUGGUGAAACACUGAAAAUGUCAGUUAUUAGAAUGAUUAGGUUUAGCAGGUUGGUUAGCUAAUCUUUUUCCUGUUCCAUUAGAUUUGGCUACAUGAUUCGUUCACUUCUGGAUCAGUAUAAUAGUAAUAUUCUUUAAGAAAGGUAUGUUUUCUUUUAUUGGCUUUAGCUCUAGAUCAUUUAUAUUGUUGUUUAUUUCUGGAUGUUGUCUUUAGGCAUGGCUAAGUUAGACCUGUGUUUUAAAGGAGCGCCUUGGCCUCCGAAGCAAGAGCCUCAUGACUGAUGCACUUCAAAAACAAUGAGUUUUUAUUUUUGGUGGGGGGGGGAAGGGGGAUGCACUUCAAAAACAAUGAGUUUUUAUUUUUGGUGGGGGGGGGAGGGGUUGGAUUUAAUACCAAACCCCAUAGAUAUGACUUUAUUAGAGAUGAAAAGCAUAUUUGACUUUGUUUUGUGUCCUUUAGUUUAUAGAUUGUCCUUUAGUUUAUAGAUGUCAGUUUGGAACUUAAAAUCUAGAAAAACUUACAUAAACUUCUAAAUUGAACUAGAAAUAAAAUAACAAAUACUUCUAACAUAGUAACUACGGAUUUGUAGACCAUAAGUCGGUAUAGGCCUUAUGGAUUAAACAUAUACUUGCCAUGUUAUGCGAAUUACGAAAGGUAUCAGAGGAUCUGUGAGUCCACUCCCAAGUUCCAAAUGAAAACAAGAAAAAAAAAAUCAUAGUACAAUCUGAGAUUCCUUGUCGAGGUCUGUAGCCUCCAGAUGAUCAUCAUCACAAUCUCCAUCAUUACUUUCACAGUAUCACUUGCAUCUAAUGCCAAGCCGCCAUCAUCCUAGUUAUCCCCCUUCUCUACAUAGUGCUCUUAUCCUCAUUCUCCUCAGGUUCAGCCUCCUCCUCUUCUAUUGUCCUUGAGCUCUUCCUUGAAGUUUUAGUGGCUGCAUAGGGCUAUGCUUUGCAAGUGCAGGUCUUUUCCCCCCAUGUAUGUACCACAAUAGAACUACAUAACACAGCAAUGACGUUUAUUGUAGACAAAUUUAUAAAGUAUAGAAGUAUAAUUGUAGUACUAUAUUGUAAUUAUAUUACUAACUUACUAUUAUACUAUACUUGUAUUACUAAUUUACUAUUUUAUAUCUAUUGUUGUAUAAAUCAAGUACUGAAAUCAUAAACUUACAAUGAAAAGUACAAAAAUUUCUUGGAUGAAUUUUAAACUUCUGCAGUAUUGCUUUAUCUGUACCAUGUGACUUCAUUAAGCUUAUUCAACUUUUAUCAUUUUAUGGUCUCGUAGGUCCAUGUCGAGUUUGAGUCUCAUAUUGCACAUGUUGGAUCCAUCCAUGAUCCAAACCUUGGAAUCAUUCUCAUAAUCAUUAUAAAGAUAAGCAGGGUGGAUAAAGUACCCUGCAACUACAUGUAAGGGCCUAUGUAGUUGGCUAUUCUACUUGUCAUCUACAAUCUUCAAAAUUGUGUUUACUUCCUCUUAUUGUGCCAUAAUUCUUUGAUAUCUGUUCCAUAGCAACUUCAACUGCCUUGUAAAUAUGAUAAAUGGGUGUUUACUUCUCAGUAUCCACUGUGUAGGAUUUUCAACGAAGGAUCAAAUACUUAGAGGGAGUAGAAUAACCCAUUCCAAUGGGAUGCAAAACAAUACUACACUCUUCCUCUGUGUGCUUGGACCCAUGCUCUUGGGCUUUUAGAGACAAAUAUGGCCUUGAGCUUGUCUUUUUGGGCUAAUAUUGUCUUAAGGGACUUAUAAGAGUGACAAACCCUAUCACACCUUACUCACCAGCUCCAUUCUUCUGUGAACUUACUCAGCAUGGCCAGGAUUUGUGUGUAGUUGUACAUGAAAACAAUAAUGGCUUUUGCCUCCUUAAUUGUCAAGUCACAAUUGUCUACUUUCUCUCAUAAAAAUCACAAUUUUCUACUUAGCAAUCGCCUGCAUAAGGUCAAUGCCAUGCUGCACAUGAUGCCCAGAAAAUGUGCAACCUCUUCUCCAAUAACAGUGUGGUAGUCGAAUAACAUCCUGCUCACUUACCUCCUCUUAAAUUGGUCUACUGUGCUGAAAAUGGGUUUGUGUUGUAAGUUACCUCGCAUAAAUCAACAGGCUUCAAAGACAUUGUCCUCAUUAGACACUUCAUCAUGUAGUUCAUGAUACUUCUUCCGUUCUUAUUAGUUCAUGAAUCAUUCAUUUUUGUGACGUCAUACUUCCCCAUGUAUCCUUGCAGGCCUUUUGGAUACUCGUUUGUGAGCAAAGGUUCCCAGAGCUCUUAAUCUGUAGGAGCCUUAAACCAGGCCCAAACUACUACACUCCUCAGACAUAGCUUGGAAGCUUGUCAGUCUAGUGGUAUUGAUAGAAAUGCCUGCUUGGUGCAUCCAUUGGGCUAUGUAUUGACAGGCCCGACCUUAUGUUCCUUCUCAAAGUGGUUCUCUUUAAGAUUAUGCUUCUUGUCUCUAUCCACAACUUCAGGUUUAGAGUAAAAUAAUAAACUGAUAGGUCCCUUUGUGAAACUACCCCUUGCUUACUAAUUGUAGUUGAGCCCAUCUCCGGCCCCACGUCCUCAACAUAAUAAUAGCAUCUUCUUCCUCUCAAAAGCAUUACCUGAUCUCAAAAUAUUCUGAUGUUUCUUCUUCUUAUCUUCUGCCCCUGUCCCACGUUGAAUGGGCCAAUGUUUCUCUCCGAACAUCUUCCGGUACGAACUUGCAUGGGUAACAUUGCGUCUAAUUCUGGUAAAAUGUUUCUUUAUUUGAUGUAUGUCGACAUUAUAAAUAUUUUUGUAAGUUGGCAUUAUAAAUAUUUUUGUAAAUUAGCAUUAUAAAUAUUCUUACAAAAUUUGCAGUCCACCUGAUCUUUAUCUUUUAUAUUAGGCAAAGAGGCGUAUUUCCAGCUCGGUUCAUCUAAUUUUAUUGGGAAAAUAUCUCAAUACACCCUCUUUUUAGGUUUCAUUUCUCUACCGACCCAAGGUUUCAAAACAUAUCUGGUGGCAUAGAGAUCCCAUGUAUUAUGUCUUCUAACCCUUUGGACCAACGUUACCCCAUUUGAUCCCAUCUUUUUAGCUCAAACAAAAGUUCAAAAGACAUCAUUUUUUUUUUGUUCCUUUUUAAACCCCUUCUCUCUUUCUCUUUCUUUCUCUCUCUCUCUCUCUUCCUGUGUUUCUCCCAAAACCUCUCUUUUUUUUUUUUUUCAAUAUUAAAAAAUGAGAUUUUAUACAAUAAGACCAUUUACCUUUUAUACAAGAGGUCACAAUUACUUACAACCAUGUGAUGUGAAAUCUGAUAGCUUGGGUAUGUCACAAAGUUCGAGAAAAUUUCUUUUGAAAUUUGAGCUUGGUCAAUGAAAUGAAUGCAGCCACCCAAUCUCACAUCCAAUGGUUAAGAUUAAGUGUGACCACCUUGUACCAAAGGUAAAUGGUCUCAUUAUAUAUUUUCCCUUAAAAAAUAAAAAAUAAAAAAUAAAAAAAAUAUAUAUAUACAUAUAUUUUUUUUCUAUGUUAAAAAAAGGAGAGAGGUUUGGGGAGAAACAAGGGAAAAGAGAGAGAGAAGGGGGUUUAGAAAGGACUAGAAAACAUGAUGUCUUUUGAACUUUUGUUUGGGCUAACAAGAUGGAGUCAAAGGGGGUAGUUGGUACAGGGAGUUAAAAGAUAUAAUACAUAGGAUCUCUAUGCUGCCAAAUAUGUUUUGAACCUUGGGAAAUAAAACCUAAAAAGAGGGUGUAUGGAGAUGUUUUCCCAAUUUUAUUUAAUUGGAAGAUGAUAUUCUCACCUACUCACUAAAACGAGUAAAAUAGCCAACAUAAACUUGAAAAAUUUUCCAAACCAAAACUCAGUUUGAAUACAUGCCAUAUGCAAGAAAUUAAAAUCCAUAAUAUUGAAUAAAGUAAACAAUGUACAAGCAAAUAUUUUAAAACGUUACUAAGUCAAGACCCAAUAUUAAAAACUGUGAAUAAGAAAUCCAAACCCAUACUCGAAUCGGCACAAAACCAAAAGUUCCAAAAUUUAAAUUCGAAUAGGAAGAAAAAAAAACAUACGCAAAACCUAAUAUUGAGAAAAGGCACUAACACAAAAGCCAUUUAUCAAGAAACCCAUAUUUUCUUUCAAACCAAAGAAUCCCAAAAUCCAUUUGAAAAAUAUGUAGGAGAAUUUACAGAACCAGAAGGUCCAAAUCGAAAUUUGAAACUAGGAAAAAAGAAAACCACAAAAGCAAAACCCGAAUAUUAGAAAACUUAUCUGAACCAAAACCAAUUCUUGAUACAAGUAACCAGGAAACCCAAACAGAUACUAGAAAAAAAUUGCAAAACCGCAAUGUCCAAAUUUGGCUUUGAAAAAAAAAUUACGAAGUCCCUUUUCGUUCAGAAAAAAAGCACAAAAACAAAACCCAUCUUUUAUAGGAAAAAAACUGAUCUUAAACUCAAUCUUGAAAAGUAUAAAUGAACACAAACCCAAAAUCGAAAUAAACUUUGAAACCUAAUCAAAGUUGAUUCAAUUUGGCAAGCUUUGGUUGCUAAAACACCGUCAUAAACACCUUUUCCAGUCUUGAAAUCAAUUGCUUCUUAUCCCUUUCAAUUUUGUAACAACUUGUAAGUACCACCAAAAAAAAGAAAAAAUGAUUUUGUGAAGAUUUUUCUUGAAUCUAGGUUUUAGAGGGGUUGUCUUUGUCUAGAAGGUCUUUGGGGGCGGAGGGGGGGGGAAGGGGGGGCGGCGGGAAUGACGAAAAUUACCCUUUCUUGGGGCCUAUUUAUGUUCUUGGGGAGGGGCAGCAAGUUAUCUGCCUUGUGCCAAGGCGCUAGACGGCACCUCUGUCACCAAGGCAGACCUAGGCGCCCCAAUUUGCCUGGGAGAGGUGGAUAUGGUCUCAGCAUGUCUCAAGGUGCUGAAGGGCCACCUUUCAAAGCAUUAGGGUAUUUUUACUUGAUCUAGGUACAAUGAAUUUCUCAAAUAAUUUUGUAGUUUUGAUUUGCUCUAUGUGCUUUCCUGCCUUUGAUUUCUCUUGGUUUCUUUGCCUACUUGUUAGAGAGCAUUUCUUUCCUCCUCCUACUUGAAAUUUUGACUAUUUUGAUUCUAUCCUGUUAUGCCUAUUUGACCUUUCUCUUUAAUGUUUGAGGUUUUUUUUCGAUAACCAACAUUCCAAGCGUCUACUUAUCAAGUUGCACAAGAAGUGCUUACAAAUGAAUAAGCAUACUAGUGGGAAAUUCAUUAUUUGUGACAAUUUCCAACUUAGUUUUGUCAUGUGAAGAUUUCAGCUUUAGGAGCCAAAAAAGAAACUAAAAUAGCUUAGUGGCUACAACUUUCUUUCUAGAAGCUGCUUCGCUUUAGGAGCAAUUUGGUUGCUGUAGAACCACAUAGCUUGCUCCGAAGCUAUUGCAUUGAUAGGCAGGCUUACCGAAUAAAGCGGGCAAGCUGUUGAAUCCUUCAAGUGCAAUUCAUAUCAUACUUGUGCGCACAAGUCAUUUCUUGUGCACGCUCUAGUGAGCAAUAGUUCUGCAAGGUAAUUGCUCAGGCGUUACUAGCUUGGCCUGCUUGGUUGUACAUCUACUUAUAGUUAUUUAUAUUAUAUUUAUACCAAGCAUUAUUCUCGUUUCAUAGCUAGAUCCAAUCUCUUAGUCCUUGCACAACGGAAAAAGAAUUUCACGUUCUUCCUUUCGGGAAGGGAAGAUUAGGGAAAUCCUAUUGAUUGCUGCUUUCUCCAUACCUCCGGGAAAAGCAUGAAAGAAAAAAGGCUUUUGUUCUGCCUAAAUAUGCUGAGCUGAAAUCUUCACAUGUAACGACUUUCUUUGGGACCUGGCUAAUUGAAAUGUUUGCCUGGUGAUGUUAUUUUUCGCUCUUGAUUUUUCCUUUGGUCACAUUAGGGGCAGUCCAUAUUUUGGGGUUACGGCCUUUGAAAAAAUGGCCGGUUUGGUCCACUUCACUGUUCCAGGGUGACUGAUUUUUGUAACCCCAUUCAUCAGCAAAAUGCUGCCAAAAUGUCUUCACUCAGCAAUAACUGAAAAAAAAAGUGGACUUUUUUUUUUUUUUCACAUUUAUGAAUAACUCUCUUGCUUGAUGGAGUUGUGCGGGCAUCCAAACAGGCCUUGGUUUGUUUAGCCAUUUAAGGUAAAUUCUUGAUAUCCAUAUCCUAAUUCUUGAAUUUUAGCCUGGUAUCUAUGGGAUUGUCUAUAAAGAGACCAUUUAUCUUUAUUACAAGUAAUGUUCAUAAAAACGGACUGCCCAAUGCCUAGGCGGUUUAGAAGGCCUGGGUGCAUCGUCCAGGCCUAGGCGACCAAACUGGGCGAUGGUCCCUGGGCGGCCCGCCCAGAGGUAGAAAUGGUUUUUAUUUAUUUAUUUAUUUAUUUUUAAAGAUAUAAAAGGUUAGAAGGAGGGGUUUUAGGUUCAUUUAAAACCUAAACCCACAAGAACCCCUUUUAGAGAGAAAGAAACCUCCAGAAAACUACUUUUAAUUGGAUCGAAGUGUUUCUCAAAGUUUGGAGUUCGAGCAAUCAAAGUAAGUGCAAAAUUUUAUUUUUUAGAUUGCUUGUUUUAUUUUGAAAUGUCUCAUUCAGGAGUUAGUCGGAGUGGAAAUAUGGAUACAACCCGAAUCCAAAUGUCAAAAAGAUGCAAAAGGAGGCAUAAAAUGGUUUAAGAAACAUUUUGCCGAUAUUAAGGGGGAUGUUGCUCAUUGUAAAAAUGUUCCUGAAGCUAUUAGAGAGGAGAUUAAGCAAUAUAUAAGUUAAGUAAAACAAAAACGAGAACAAAAUCCUUGCAUAGAUCUAUUUCUGCUACUUCUAGAAGAAGUGAUCCGGCUUGGAAGUAUGGGUUCAACCCAAAACCAAAUGAUAAAAAUUGUAUAAGAUGUAAUUUUUGUGAAAAAGAUAUGGGGGUUUUAGCUAAUUCUAAAAACACAUUGCUAGUGUUAGACGUAAUGUUGCUUCUUGUACAAAGGUUCCUAAAGCAGUUCGGGAUGAGAUUAAACAUCUUCUGAAGUUAGAGGAACCAGAAAAGGAUGAAAAUAGGCCUUGUUCUAUGGAAGUAUCUUCUCCAAGUUCUAGUCAGAGUGGUGAUCCUGGUUGGAAGUAUGGUUAUAACUUGAACCCAAGUGAUAAAAAUUGUAUUAAAUGUAAUUAUUGUGGAAAAGAUACUAAUGGGGGCAUUUACCGGUUUAAAAAACACCUUCCCGGUAUUAAGGGGGACGUUGCCCUGUGUAAAAAUGUUCCUGAGGCUACCAGGAAGGAAAUUAUACAAUAUUUGAGUUCAAAGAAGCACAAAGAAAAUGGUAGAGCAGUCAAGACUCUUAGGGCCUCAUUUGCACCAGCUGCACAUACUAGUAAAAGGAAGGUAGAAGAAGAGGAGGAAGAGGCAGAUUCAGAAGAAACAGAGGAGGACGAGCUUUUUAUUGAAGAGGGAGAUGACUCUGAUGAUGAUGGCCUCGACUCUGAUGCAUAUGAUGAGGCUUGCCCUAUUGAUAUUCCUUCUGAUGAUGAUGAUGAUGACGACUAAAGACUCUUGCCUCUUGGUGUUGAGUGUUGACUGUUGGGUUGAGUCAUGAGUGUUGACUUUUGUUAGACUAUAUAUUUUCUAACUUUCUGUAUAUUUCUAUUGUGUUGAGUGUUGACUUUUAUAUCCUACACUUGUAUGGUUUUAUAGUUUACUGUUUUAACAAUAUGGAUUAUCAAAAUUCUCUUCUCGAUGUCUAUCUUUUUUUUUUUUUCAACUUGGAAUGUGGUAUAUUGGUAUGAUUUUUCAACUGGGCAGCCGUCCAGGUUCUGGGCGCCCGCCUAGGCGUUGGGCGGCCUGGACCCCCCAGGCCGCCUAGGACCUGCCUAGCGCUUUUUAAUACACUGAUUACAAGGAGGUCACAACUAUUCCAACUCAUUGGAUGUCAAAUUGGAUGGCUUGCGGUGAGUCACGAAAGCCGAGAAAUUGUUUUUUAGAAUUUUGUAUCUAUUCAAUGACACCCUUACAACCACCCAUUUUGAAAUUUAAAGGACAAUAAUGAUUGUGACUUCCUUGUACAAAAAAUAAAUGGUCUCUUUGUAGACAAUCCCUGUAUCUUUCUAGUUGUUUUCAUUAAUUGUCAAGUAUCUACAGUGUCUGAUAAAUUUAUAUUUUAUCGAGUCAUUUGUGCAAGUCGGUCUUUAUUUAUGGAAUCUGUUCCACUUUUGGUUGAACUGCUUUGUGGUGCCUUUUGCUUUUGGCCGGUGUAUGUCCUCCGCCUUGCAGGACUUUAUUGCUUUCCUUUUCCCUGAUUUUUUUUUUUUAGCUAUUGAUUGGGUUUUGAGCUCCUUUUUUUUCUUAUUUGAAGAAGAUUGGUUUUAAGAUCCUCCUUAUUAAUUCCUUGAACCUUUUUCUUAUGUUUUCUCUUUUGGGAAUCUAAGUCCAAUUUCUAUAACUUCAUUUACUUUUGAUUCUUUUCACUGAACCAUGUCAGGUUUAUGUAGAGACAUUCUUCUACUAUUUUUGGAUAUGUUUGUUCUCCAAUGUAAGUUUACUGGUCUAGAGUUUAAAAUUUCAUUGUGCUGCAUGCUGCUCCGUCAUUUCUCUAACAACUUUAGUCACUAAAAAUCUAGGAAUGGAGUUUUAAGCUGAGUGCUUGUUGUGUUUUAGUAUGUACGGCCUGCUUAUCAAAUCCAUGCAAUUGCUUUUCAUGGCUGAAAUGAAUGCUACUUAUCGGAGUCUUACAGGAAGAGGAAUACAUUGAAGGGAGUCAACCCCAGAUAAUUUGAUUGAGAAAGGUCAUUUUGGACUUAGCAGCCAUUUGUUGGCUUCUCUAUGCAUAUAGGUCCACCUAACCUCAAUUUUGAUUUCCCAUGAGUUCACCCAGUAUCAGUUUUACCUUUUAGGUGCUUUAAUGUUUGAACAUCAUUUUGAAGCUCUUCCUAAAAUCUGCCUUGGCUGUAUCUAUGGGCUUUAUAAGUGAACACCAUUUUGGAGACCGAAUGUCAGCAUGAAAUGAGCGACUUCAAGUUUCUUAGGGUAUUUUGGGAAAUUGUGGAUUACUAGAGGUAUAUUAUUAUAAUGAAUUGUUGAGAUUUGAUCAAAUCAAGGGUUGGGAUUAUGUUUUAUGGUUCUUAGUGGGCUUUUCUAUUUUCUGAUUGACAUCUGUGGGGUUUUUUGGAUAUGAAACGGUUGUUAGCUGUGGUGUUUACCCUUAGCUGCUUGCUGAAUGCUGCCUUGUGGCACUAUAAAAGGAUUGGAUUAAAACAUUUGACCCUAUACAAUUUGGGAGGAGCCAUUCUUUAGUGUUAAAUAAAUCUAUAAUAAUAUGGAAUUACCUAUAUCCAUGACAUCUCUCUCUCUCUCUCUCUCUCUCUCUCUCUCUCUCUCUCUUUCUCUUUCUGUGCACACAUUUAUGUCUACGUGCUUAUGUAUGUAUAUGUACAUAAAGUAGCUGUUUUAUUGUAAAAUAAGAUCGUUUCAUUCUCAUAUUCCCCAAUAAGAAUGAGAAUGUAGCCCUGGGAGUCCAUAGAUAAGCAAAUAAGCUCUCUCUUUCUCUCACCUUGAGGUUUAGUGGUUGAAAUUUGCGCCUUGUUCUCAUGUAGGUACACCAUGGACAGAAGAGGAGCAUCGGUUGUUCUUGGUUGGUCUCCAGAAGCUUGGGAAGGGGGAUUGGCGGGGGAUCUCCCGCAAAUUUGUGACGUCAAGGACGCCAACCCAAGUGGCUAGCCAUGCUCAGAAAUAUUUUAUCCGCCAGAACAAUGCUUCUCGUAGAAAGAGGCGCACCAGCCUCUUUGACAUUGUUGCAGAUAGGGUAAGCUCUAUAAUCCAUGCAGCUAUAUAUAUUGGAAUAUUUGAUAGGUCUUAAUGGGCCUUCUAAUCAAUUUUGGGUCAAUAAGUAAUCAUUCUUUCGAUUAAUUUAUUUGUUUAAUUUUUCUGGGUCGCCUUUCAAAUCUAAAUUUCUGUUGGAUCAGCUUUUCAUGUGAGAAUGUUGGUAGCCAACUUUUUGCACUUGUAAAAGAAUGCUAUCAAUUGCACUUUGCAUGUUAUUUUUAUAAUUUUUACUUUUUCUUUGAGUAAUAUUUUUUGUACCAUUAUUAAAAAAAAAUUUACACAAUUAUUUAAAGUAUUUAAGGUAAUUAAGGUGGAAUAUUGUCCUAUUGCAAAAUUAUUCGAAAUGCUUUACAGGUAUUUAGGAUUUGGGGGCUGUUUUGAUUACUUGUCAGUUCUCAUGGUAGAGUGCGAUUUUGGUCAAUAUCCAUGUUCACGCUGCAAACCGUAAAAAAAUUCAUAUACAUGCAGCAAUGCUGGACAAAUAUGAGAACAUUGAAAGACUGGUUCUGAUUACUUAACUGUACUUGUAUUUUUGUGAUACUUAAACCACAUAGACACCCUCUUAAAGUUCAGAAUGAUCCCGAGUAAAUGUUGUAGAAUACCCAAAAUCGUUAUCAAGAUUCUGGAGUAUACAAGAAGACAACUAUUAUCAUAGUGCAGUUGGCGAUUUGACCUUUUCAUAUUGGCUUGUUUGUUGCAUCUAUUCAUGUUCGGAUGCUCUGUGUAUGCAUGCGUGUUUGCCAUGUGUGUGUGUGUUUUUGUAAAUGUUUGCUAACUUGAAAUCAUUUGCUCUUCCCUCAUUUGUGUUUGUUUUGAUUUGCUACUCUCUCUCUCUCUCCUCUUCCCUCCUCCCCAAUUCAUCUCCUUCGCACAUUUGCAGUCAAAUGACACCCCGCCUGUUCCAGAAGAGGAUUGCAUGCAUGAGGAGGCCAUAGAUACCACUGACAAUGGCCUCUUGCCCUUGCGCCUGGCCCCUGACUUUGAGUGCGAAUCAAUGGAAUCGACGAAUAAUACAAGAGAAAUAGACACGGUCGAAUCGCCUGCGUGCCCCUUCCCCAUGAUGUUCCCUGCCUUCUACUCUCCCUAUGUUCCAAUCCCUGUCCCAUUUCCAUUCUGGGCCCCUGCAACCAUGGCACCAGGCUUAGAGAAAGAAAGAGAAACUUUGGGUCCGGAGAGAGAGAGAGAAACACAUGCAGUGCUUAAGCCUACAGCUGUGGUGUCAAAGAGCCCAAUCAAUGUGGAUGAGCUUGUGGGUAUGUCGAAGCUGAGCCUUGGAGAAGCUCCUGGCCAGCCUGGGCCGUCGGAUCUGACUGCAAGGCUCCUGGGUGGGCCUGCAAGGCAAUCGGCUUUUCAUGCUAACCCUGGAGCGGGACUCGGUGCUAAUGGCGGAAGUGCAAUACAUGCUGUUUGAGUGGUGAAUUGGGGGAUUGGAUUCAUUGGUUCUCUCUCUCUCUCUCUAACUUUGUUCUAUCUUUUCUUAUUUUUGGAUCAUAGUUGUUGGUUGUCUCCUCUCUGCAAGAAGAAUUUGGGGAGGGAUACAUAUAUGGGGAUCAUGGUUUUUAUUCUUCUUUUUUUCUAUUUUGUUGUAAUGGAAGGACAAGUUCAUGGGAGUUAGGGAAAAUGGACUGCAGAUGUAGGUUUCGGGGUUUGAUUGAAUAAUCGAGUAUUCAUACAGUUCCUUCCCCCUCUCUCUCUCUCUCUAAGUGGUUGAGGAUUCACAAGCGAGAGUCAACUGUAUAACGCCUAUAUUAUAAGGAUCAUUCACUUUUGGUACAAGGUCAUAAUUAUUUCUAGUCAUUUGAUAUAAAAUUCUACAGUGGGUGUUGGGUUUGGUGAUAGCUAAAUGACAAUACUUAUAUUUUUGUCUAAAGAUAAGGCUGUGGAUGUAGACCUACGGAUGAACUACGUAAAUCGUGUGUUGUGUGUUUUUUAUGUUUGUUUUAUUUUUCGUAUUCGAUUUAUAGUUGUAUUCAUUUAUUUUGUAUUUAAUCAAUUAUGUACACGAUUUUGAGUGGGAUUUCGGUGCUUGGGAUUCUCAGUUUCGCAAGCUAAGGGGUUCUCGAGAUCCUACAGUGGGGUGGGUCAUAAAGAUCGAUCCCACAUUGUUAGUCAUUUAAUUUCACAUCUAACAAUUAAUAGUAAUUGUGUCCUUUUUAUAUUAGAAUUAUAUAGCUUUAUCGAUACUUUUUCUUUCAAUAUUAACCUAUUUUGAUUCAGUUUGGUUAUUGAGAUCUUGGACAAUCGGUAGAUACUCCAAUCAAAUGGUAAAAGGAAAAAUAAUGGAUGUGUUGUUUAUGAACCUAGUGAAUUUGUCAGGGGAAAGGAAAAAGUUCCUGCAAGACCUCUUGAUAAAAAGUAAAGAAAGCAGCGCUUCAAUAUCCUAUGGAAAAUUGGAGUUUUGGUAAAGUAAAAUUUUCAAAUUGAUAAUUUUGACAUUGACGGUUAUCUAACAAAAAAAUGAUGGAUUUUUUGCUCUAAAACUAGUGCGUCUUAAAGUACCAGCAUAUCAAUGGCAUUUGUGCCAUUUUUUAAGUUUUCAAUUUCAUAAUCAGGGUUGCCACAUUUGGCUUUACUUUCUAACACCGAGGAGGAGGCUGGUAGAGAAGGCUGCAAUUCUUGCCUAUGGUUCUUCUAAAACACUUCUGUGCCAUUUUUGAAGCUUUCAAUUUCAUAAUCAGGGUUGCCACAUUGGCCUUUACUUUUUAACAUUGAGAAGCAGGCUGGUAGAGAAAGCUGAAAUUCCUGCCUACAAAUGUUCUUCUAUUUCUUUCCUAAACACUGAGGAGGAGGCUGGUUCUUCUAUUUCUUUCCUAAACAUUGAGGAGGAGGGUGGUAGAGAAGGAUGGUUGUGGGCUCAUCUUACCUUCAAAGAUUCUUCUAUUUCUUUCCCUCCACACAUUUCACAUAAAAAGUAGUUUCGGCAUGGAACCUCUUAUUAUGAAUAGCAUGUGUAAGCCACUAUUCGGACAAGUGAGACAUUGUCUUUGGGAUAGUCAGUUGCAGCCCAAUCAACUACAAGGCCCAGGCCCAUAUAAGAGUUGGUCACAAAUUUCCUCAUGGUCUGUGUAGUAAGUACAUGUUGUCAAAAUAAGACCUCUUUAAAUUAUCCAUAGUAAGCAGUUUGCUGUGACAUAAUAUUUAUACAAAUGCCUGUGCCUUCUACUGACUGAUCAUUUCUCUGCAGGAGGUUCUAAACCUGUCGUGGUUAGAUAAGCAGGCUAAAAGAACUGGUUUGAAAAAUGGUCUGACAUUAAAUGGUCUGACAUUCUUCUCUAUAUACAUCGAAUUUACCACUUAAGAAUGACUCUCUCCCACGAUACCGCAUAAGAUUGUGUACAAUAUGAAUGCUCAACAUUGGAAAUAUUGUUCAUCUCAACCAACAGUCUCAAGAAUUGAGAAUAGACACUUCUGCUGUGUAUUUUUAUGCAUGCAAUACUUCCACAUUUUCCGGAGUGCUCAUUUUCUAAGAAAAGAGAGUACAUGUGUGAACGAUCAUGGAGUUUCAGAAUUUGGCCUUGCUCCAAAUUUUCAGUAGGUAAAUGGUUUGGGUGCUUUAAAGUUGGUGCUCAGUCUUGAGGAAUAUGGAAGACCUUCUUUUGAACCCCUUCUCUAGCAUGUCUGAUAUAGCUCUCUAUAAAACCAAAAAUUGGGAGCCUCAUCAGAGGAGACUCGUACUAGGGAGCAAUUUUGAAUUUCCCCCUGGAGUGAUUAAAAUCCAAGACUAAUUGGGGUCCUGACCUCAAGUCGACUCGCAAGGACACGGUCUGGCUCAACAAAGUCUUUAUGAAAACACAUGGAGUACCCAAGACUACUGAAACUUAUCUCAGAUUCAAUGUUUUCCUCCAAAUGUGGUACCAUGUCGAAUUUGAGUUACUCUUCUUAAGUCCUGACUUUGUCACUGAUGACUAGAGCAAGAAUGUUUCUUCAAAUUUCCGUUUUUGUAUUGAGUUACCUUUAUCAAUAGGGUGUGUAUACCAUGCUCCAGUGGAAGGACAAUAUAUCUUUACCCCCUCGAGCAGAGACUUGGUUUCGAGGAUUCUUUUGAUCUGAAAUUUUGAGAACCACCUAAGAAUCCCUGAAUGAUUAUUGUAAAAAAAAGUUAGGCAUUUGAGUUAUCUAACACGUAGAUCUCACCCUCCAAAAUUUGGACCAUCUCCAUUCAAUCUUGAGAUGUCAUUUUCUUCGUGUGCAUAGAGAGUGUAAUUUGGAAAUUUUGUUUAUUGAGGUUAGUAUAUAUGUUAAAGAGGUUACAUCCCAAAAAAAUUGAUGUCCUAAAAAUUCUCCUAGAUUGAGGUUUACCUGAGGGAAUGAAUGGACAAUAUGCUCUAAUGCACAGGAGCACAAAAUCUUUUGCCUUAUCAAUUUCUUUCUAGAGCUUAUAAAUUGGGAGGACACAAUGACUUCAUGAAGUAGGGACCACAUUAAAAUUUCUCGAAAAGGGUACAGUGAAGGUAAGGUCAUACUUCUCAAAAAUGAGAAAUCUAGAUCCACAUGGUAGAGUAAAUUGCCCAAAAAAAUAGAAAAUGAAAAAAUCACAAAUUUGGACUAUUUUGUUAUUUUAAAAAUUUAUACAAACCCUCAAAUAUUUUAUUCUCUUUCUAAAAUUAGGUCCAGUUGAAAUUUGGAGAGUACAUGUGCCUAAUUUUAUAUAAAAUAAAAUGAUCAAACUAACCCUCAAAGUUUCAAGGGAAAAACUUCAUUUUGUUUUUUACAUAGAAAUUUUUAAUAAUUUUAGUGGUGCAAGUUAUUUAGAUGUCUAGAAGAAUUUCAAAUUCUUGCAAUAUACACAAAAACUAAAAUUGAAAUCCUCUAGAUCAUCGAAUCCAGAUCUCACAAUUGCGAUCAAUAGUAUUUUAGGUUAUCUAUGAUGUAGAGUUUCGGAGGUGUUUCCAUCAUUCUAUUUUUUUAAAAAAAAUAUAUUAUAUUUUUCCAAGAAUAAUCAUAGGCUUCUUCUAAAACUUUAGCUCAAUCCAACCUAAAAAAAAAACAUUGAAGUACUCAGAUUUGCUCUUAACCAUCCAAGGGGAAUUUUCAAUCAUUAUGUUUUUUCAAAUUAGUUUUCUAUAUUUUUCAUAGGUUCUGAUGGUGAGAAAUAUAGAAACUAAAGGUAUUAGCUCAAUUUGACUCAUGAAAAAAAUAAAAUAAAAUAAAUUCAAAACACUUAAACUUGUUCUCACCUUAUCAUUUUUUUCUUUUUCUUUUUAAAUGAUGUAAGAGUGUCAAAUUCGCUAGACCUACCAUGGAUAAGCUAUAGUUUUGAAAUCUCAUUCAUUUAACAAACAUUACCCUAUCACUAACCAUAACUUUAACAAAUGGUUGAAAUAGGCUAAUUUUCAAAUCUCUUAAUUUAAUGAAUUUCAGCUUGAACCAAAAACAUAGUUUUCCAAAAUCCCCUGAAUUCUGGAUUGGUUAACCAAACAUAGUAUUUUCUAUUACCCGAUACUCAAUUUCCUGCCUUCUAGAUUUCAUAAUUGGAAAUCUCCAAUAGGUUCCACUUGCCAAAACUCCCCCAAAACUAAAGAAUAUUUUAAAUGAAGAGCCAAUCAAAUAAUAUGGGCCCAUAUUUAGUCAAUUGUUGGUGGUUAUGGAACCCCGAUGACAAAGAUAGUUGAAAUGUGCUAUAUUUAUGGGAAGCCACAUGAGCUUGGCUUUCAUAAUUAUUUCUCUUUAUGUGUUUAUUUUUUUAUCUAUAUAUUUAGGUUGGUUUCCAUCCUUCAAGAAACUCACCUUUCUGAGAUGAAUGUUUCAAGCAAACUUCAUCAUCAAUGGGUUUGAAAUAGAUGGGUGAAACAGGGCAAUAAGAUAGUACCAUGACCAACAUUUUUUUUGUUUGUGAGGAACUCAAGAUAUUCUGUUUUUAGGCACGAUUUUUUACUUUUUCAAGACAAUGUUCGUCCUUUACUGAAGAAAUUCAACGUGAUUUAAAUUCUUAGGUAAAUUUGAUCUUAAAAAAUAGAAAAACAAAAGAUUGAAAGCUCGACUUGCUUGUACAAUAAACAAACAUAACAAGAUCCGAAGAGCUAGAUGAACUUUUUUUGUGAGAGAGAGAGAGAGAGUGAACAAAAGGGACUUUUGCUAGUUGCUCCCAAGAUAAUAUUUUCUGUCUUUGGUAUAUAUAGAAACAAAAGAUUGAACACUUAUCUUGUAUAUAUAACAAUGCAUUAGGGGAGCCUUUCUUUAAAGGGAGAACACGAAGAAAAGAAAUUUUUGCUAGUUGAAUACUUUGUAUCAACUCCUCUCCUUUAAAGUAAAACCAAAGUAAUUUAUGGAGAACUGCCCUUUCAGUUUCGAAAAAUUGUUUCAUGCUGUCUGGACCACAUUUCUACAUAUGUGGUCCAGAAAUUGUAAAGCAUCCAUGUUAAAGAUGUAUGCAAAUAGGCGUUCCAUCUAAAAAUAAUGGAAACUAAUGGUCCAAGUGUUUUCUUACUAGAAUUAUUAUUUUUUAGUUUUUAAAUUUUAUUUAUUUAUUCAUUAUUCAUGAUCUCUACGUUAGAGAUUACAUAUCUUUGAAAUUUAAGUCUUAAAAAUCCAUCUAAAAAAUAGAUUAAUUAAGAGGCCCAUAUUUCUACAUAUUUAGGCUUGGCCGCAAGGUCCUUCAGUUUCAGUGAAUACUAUGUACCCACUCGUUAUAACUUUAUAACUACGCAUUGAGCAAUUGUGCCUAUUCAUUCUUGCUCUCUCGAAGACCCGAAACCAUAAUCUAUGUAGAGGGAAGUGCACUCUCAGUUUCCUUGAACAUACCACACAGUUAUUAUAACUAAUGCUGAGUUGUGCUUCUUUCAUUUCUCCUGUGACAAAUUUGUCACUCCGGUUUGUUUGCGAUAUUGCCGUAAGACAUUCUUACAAGACUGUUGUGGUGGUCGCAUUCCAUAUUCAGUUACCACAUCAUGGUAUCCAUUUUUAUUACUGACAUACCCAAUUAACAUUUUCAAAAUAUAACUCUCUAAUCUAUUGAGAAAACGGGUAGAAGCAUGUCUUUCCCAUUGAAUUACCCAACUACCUCGACCCAAUAUGGCUUGGAGCAAAGUGUAAACCCUUUUGCCCUCCCACACGUAUGGGUAACAAGCAAUAUUAUGUGGUCUGUAUAGGCAUCCUCUUCUCUUAGUUUCAAGAAUACAAUAGCAGAGGGUAUUCCCAUAUUUAAAUUUCACUUCCAAUAAAUACUAUGAUUCUUUUUGAAUUCAGCAUUUAUUCAAUAUAAAAAACUCAGCACUAUGACCAAUUGCUUUUUGGCUUUCCAUAUAUCGUGGAUUGAUUUUUAUCCUAAUGAUCAAUUAUGCAAAUAAAAAAACAAAAAAAUUAUGCACCCUGAAAAUAUCCAAAUGAAUCCUGCCCUACAAUGAUUGCGAGCUGUCCAUUAGGUGAACGUUGAUCUACGCCUUCCAUUUGGCGACUAUUGAGAUCUAGGCCUUCCAUUUGAUGAUGAUUCUGGCCAUCGGGUAAAAACUAUCACUUUAAAGCCAGGAUCCGAUCGUCCCAUCAUCAAAUGGACGACCAAUAUUCAUUGCGGUAAGAAAAAUUACUUUUAGGAUUUAUUGUCGAAAUUUUAUUAUUUGGUAUUUUCUUGUUCUUUUUCUUUUUUUGAAACCUUUUUUUUUUUUUAUAACAGGAAUGAAAUGUUGUAAUGAUUUAGAACACACUGAUCCAUAUCGAGAAUCGCUAAUCGCUUAUCUUUUUGUAAUCCUAAUCCAAAUGGGGAAUCGGUUUGAUUUUUAUGGAGUCAUCCAAUUAUGUAAGACAACCAGGCGAGUCUAUGCAAGAACCAAGCAAUAUAGAUCAAGCCAAAUCUCGAUUUAGAUCGCUCGAUCCCACACAUUUAUUUUUUCAUAAAUUUUUCAAAUUUAAAAUUUAGAAAUGGCAUGUAGAUUUUUUUGGAUUAUUUUUCACAGUAGAGAAUUGGUCCAAUCCAGCCUGAAUCGAUGAUCCGAUUGGUCCAUUGGGUGCGGUCCUCCCAAUCCGGGUAUAUUACAUUAUAUCUACUAUUGAAAUGGGUUCAUGAAUCACUCCCCAAAAAAUAUUUGCCUUCAUGGUCCUGCUAGAUAUAAAAAUCCAUGGAAAAGUUCAAUUAGGAAUAAAAUGUUUAGUAGCAUACAACUACCUAAAUCCCCUUCAAUCUUAGGUCGGCAGAUGAUGCCUCAACACACCAAUUUCCCUUCAUAUUAUCUUUGGAAAAUGACAAAAGAUAUUACAUAUAGCAUGGGCCAGUUUAUCUUUGGAAUAUGGAGGUCACAAGUAAUAUUAGCCAUCAAAUGUCGAAUCAGACAGCUUAAAAGUAUGUCGCAUAAUUCAAAAAAAAUUUCUUUAAACUUCGAACUUGAUCAAUCUCACACUCCUAGCCUUCCGAUUUCAAAUUUGAUAACCAAAAGUGACUUAAGCUCCUUUGUUUUUUAAAAAAAAAUUAAAAAACUGUAAGCAAAGUUUUAUGUUAACUCUAUACUUUAAGCUCUUUGUACAAAAGAUAAAUACUAAUAUUGCUUUGAUAAGUCAUGCUUCCUAAGUACAUGCUUAACUUCUUCACCAUCCACCAACUCAAAACAUUUUAACCUUCCAACAACUAUUUAUCACAAAGCAUUCGACUGAUCAUGUUAGGUGUUUCUUAUAAGAGAGAUGUGAUGAUAUGUCACCGAUUAAUCAAAUAUUUGAAUUUGAUGCUUAUUUAGUAUUAAACAUAGGGACAUUAGAAAAUUUUAUCCUAACAAAAUGUAUAUAAAUUAUAUAACUCCGGCUCCAUAGAUUGGUGUGGGCUCUCACUCUAGAUUCCUCCAUGAUUACUAAAUCCUUUGGAGAAAUAAACAACAUGAUCUAAUAAACAUAAGAUUAAGAUUUAAUUUGUGUGAGAUUUUUUGAGGGCUAGUAUAUGGUGGACCCAUUGGUCAAGAUUGUUCACUUGGACCUACAGCCAAAACUCUUUGCUUAUCAUUACAGAAACAGUGAAAUCAAAUCAACUAAUAAAAGAAAAUGAGUGUUAGGCCAAAAAAAAAAAAAAACCUGAGACCAACAAACUGGAGGAUCUACAUUCAAUCUUAGGAGGGUUGUAAUUGGGAGCGUUUCUUUUAAGCUUCAAAUCAAUUUUUUUUUAAUGAAUUUGUCUUAAAGAAUUUAAUCAAGAGAUGGGGGUUUCUGGCCCCAAGGACACUAGGCCCUGCUGGUCCAAAUGAACAAUUUGGACCUGUGGUUAUGGGAAAAAUGAAGCAUCCCACUUAGUACUUCCCCUCAACCUUCAAAUAUAGGUUGAACCUAUUUUUUAGGGUCAUAUCAAGGCUGUCACAUACUUCUGAAAGUCUGAUAGAGGACUAAACCUACACACUUAAAGUAAAGAAAACAAUAGAGUGCAUGUUAAAAGCCAAAAAAUUUACUUGAAAUUAGUAAAUUACAUAUCGAAAAAGUUUAUAUAAGGUUAUAAAAUUAAGAUGCACCUGAAAAAUCCAUCAUAAAGGACUUUUGAGUUUGGAAAAUGCUCUAAUUGAUUAUUUCGAUAUCGAGAUGUAUGAAUACGAGAAGAAAAAAAUAAGAUUUCGAGUCAAAAAAAUAUUGCAUCUUGCAACACAUUUUCUAAGCUGUCUAUUUUCAAGAUUUUCAUGUGUUUAUAGAUCUAUUUGAUUUGAACUAUUUAUUGAGUCUAUAAUUUUAUAUUUAGAUAUGAAAAUAGAUUCUCAGGCCAUCCUAAUAAAUUUUGACACCAAAAUUACAUCUUACGAUAGAUUUUGGAGGUGCACUUUAUUUUGCUUGUUUAAAGUUGCAAUCUUAUGCAAACUACUUAGGAUGAACUAAUAAUCUAUUUUCUUCUCAAAUUAUAAAAUUUUAAACUUCAAAAAUAGUUUAAAACAAAUAGAUCUAUAAACUCUUGAAAAUCUUGAAAAUAGGUGGUCCACAUAAUAUGUUGCAAGUUGCACCAUCUUUGGGACUUAAAAUCGUUUUUUUUUUUUUUUGUCAUUUCAAUACAUCUCGAUGUUGAGAUGAUAAUUUAGAGAGUUUUUCAACAUCAAAACAACCUUUUUUUUUUUUUAUGAAUUUUCGAACUCUGAGAGAGAGGUGGUAUUCUCAUGAGUUUUGAGUUUGUAAGGCUUUUACUUUUAGAGAGAGAAAAUAUAUCAGUUGCUAUCAAUGUUAUCUUUCCAGUACCGGUAUUACAAUGGGAAAUAAGAUAUUGAUCGACGGUGUUAUUCAAUCGGGAGAGCAGGUUUAGAAGAAAAGAUCGGUUAUGGUCUUUUAUCGAUGUUUAGAUAAAUGUUUAUCUCUUGGAACCCAAAACUGUAAUUUUCAUUUUGAUAGUGGAUUUCUACUUGCUGAGCCGUGGAUGUAGCCCUAUAGGAUAAACCAUAUAAAUCAUAUGUUGUGGUGGUGUGCUUUUUAUGUUUACUUUAUUUCUCACACUUGAUUUAUAAUUGUAUUCAUCCACUUCACAGUUAGCCAAUUAUGUAUAUGAUCUUGAGUAGGAUCCUGGUUUUUGGGAUUCUUGAUUCCUGAGAUCCCUACAAUUGGUAUCAGAGCAAUAGGUGUGUAUGGGGUUGGAGUUUGAUGGAUACCUGGUUUGAGGUGGAAAAAUAUAAAGGCAAAGUGUUUGAGAAAAUUCCACAAUAGAGGCAAAUGAGAAGAAAUCAAGAAAUUUAUUCAAUGAAGGAUGCCAAGGCAAUUAUGGUAAUUUUGCUAUCAAGGUAGAGAUUGUUGGGUUUGAUGAUAAGCAAAUCACUGUACUCAUAUUUGCUUAAUCGAGAUAGCCGUUUAAAAGGGAAGAUCGGUGAUGGUCUUUUACCGAUGGUUAGAUAGAUGUAUAUCUCUUGUAACCCAAAAAUGUAAUCGUCAUUGUGAUAGCAGAUUUCAACUUGUCGAGGCUGUGGAUGUAGCCCUGCGAGGUGAACCACAUAAAAUGUAUAGUUUGGUGCUGUGCUUUUUAUGUUUGGUUUAUUUUUCACACUCGAUUUAUAGUUGUAUUCAUCAAUUUCAUAUUUAGUCAAUCAUGUACAUAAUCUUGGGUGGGAUCCCGAUAUUUGGGAUUCCCGGUUCCACAAAUGAAGAGUUCCCCAGAACCCUAUACCCAUGAUUGUAAAAAAUGAAGCUUCAAGAAUUCAUGGGAUUUAAACUGUAAAUAAGAGAGAUUUGAGAUGAAAUUCUACAGAAUUCUCGAUUUCAAAUUCUGGUUAUUUUGAAAAAAUAAGGCUUUGAUUCAUAAACAAUUGUUGUAAAUGUUGCAGAUAAUUCGUAGGAGGCUCAAAUUUGGGGCUAAAAUGGCUUUAAAUGAGCUCCUAUAGAAGAAAAGGUCAAGCUUUCUAUGCUUCCCCUACUGUAUAAAACUUAUAUGCUUCCUUCUAUCCAGUCGUCCAUUCUGAAUAGAUGGCUAAGUUGGCCCCAAUCACAAUGUCACGUCUCUACAAUGUUUUAUUUUUAGCUUACUUUUUUUAACAAACUAUUUUGACACCAAUGUUUUGGGCAUCCAAUCCUCUCAUAAUGUUGCACCUGUAAAAAAACAGAGAAAAAUAUUAUCAAUAAAAUAAAAUAACUAAAAUACCCUUAAAAUUAUUUUGGUCAUUAUAUUUUAUCUAAAAAUUAUUUUUAAUAUUUUUUUAAGUGCACCACAUUGAGAUGAUGAUACAUACCAAAUUCUAUUCCUAUAAUUUGUAGAAAAAAACCAACAAUAAAAUACUCUGAGGCAUUAGAUCUAGAUCAAACUAUCAAUAGCUCACUUGAUCUAAAUUGGAUGGCUAGAUAAGAGGGGAAGCAUAUAUCUUCUAUGAAGUAGGGGAGGUAUAUAAACGUUUACUGAAUAAAGAGGUGUUUUCUUUUUACAACAAAUUGCCCAAAAAGGUCAAGCUUGGUUCCAUUUAGAAUCGGUCUCGAGUCAAGAAUCGCCGAACUUUGUAAAAGGAAUUAUCGAAUGCACUAUAUUGAAUAGCAAAAUCUAGGGUAUAUUGGAGCGAAUCACCUAGUCAUGGCCAUCCAGAACCAUAGAUUCCAAAACCAAAGACCCUCAAAUUCCAAACAAACUCGGACAAUUUUAAGUCAGCUCUAUCGUUUAUUGAACAUUAGUUCCAAUCAUGUUAAAAAACAACAUUGACUCAUGCAUAAAUUAUUUCCCUAAGGCUUACAAACUAGAGAUUCGUGCUGAUGAAUUGUUUGGUUCAGUACAACUGAUUUCAAUAUGAAUUUUAUUAAAUUGCCCGAUUUAGAUGGAGUUCCAUUUUCGUGGUAAGGAUUCCCUAAAAUUUCGAAUGGAUUUGAUCGGGAUGAUGAACUCUUUAAUGGAGUAAAUAAGCUUUGAGAUUUUCAUGCCACUUUUUUAAUGUCAUUUUCAUGCAAUUUUGCAAGCUUUUUCAUGGUAAAAAAAUGGCAAACAAAUAGUUCAUGGGAUUAUAUCGCCAGUUAUCAUAUCUAGUUUAAUCUCCAUUAGAGUUUCACAACAGGUCGAUUUACUUAUUUUUUAGUCAUAAAGUAGUUAAUGGGACUCCAUUAAGUUUGCAAUUGAUUUUCAUGAUCAUAUUAGUACUCAUUUUGUGGCGAAAAAUCAAUUUCGAUUGGCGAAAACUCAAUUUAUGAUUUUUUUUUGGCAUUUUCAUCAGAUUUUUCACGGUCUCUACAUUUUUCAUUGUUAGAAAAAUCUUUCUUUUUCGUCUCCAGUUCCAUUCAUUUUUCAUUUUUGGAAUUUUGUGUCUAUUCAAUGACACUCCCACAACUACUCGAAGUGAAAUUUAAAGGACAAUAAUGAUUGUGAUCUCGAUAUACAAAAAAUGAAGAGUGUGGUUUCUAUAAGAUUGCAACUUAAAACAAUUCAAUUAAGACACACCUCCAACUUUUAUCAUAACAUAUAAUUUUGGUGUAAAAAAUUCUUAGGAUUACUUGAAAAUCUAAUUUCAUAUCUAAAUAUAAAAUUUUCAAUUCCAAAUAUGGUUAAAAUGAAGUAGAUCUAUAAACAUUUGAAAAUCUUGAAGAUGGACGGUCUAGAUAAUAUAUUGCAAGAUGCAUUAUUUCUGAGACUAAAAAUCUUUUUCUUUUUCCAUUUCAUACAUUUCAAUGUCGAGAUGAUCAAUUAGAGCUUUUUUUUUGUGAUAAAAUUCAUAUAAUUUUAUUCAAGAGCUAAACAGAAAUUACAUCAUUAGAGACUAAAAUCUCAGAAAGAGAAGUGUCGUUUUUAGCUAGACUAUCAGCCAAAACAUUAAUCUCCUGGAAAACGUGGACGAAGGAAAGAGAAAAAGAUAGGGACAAGUCCAAAAUAUGGAGCAAAAUAAAACAUAAUUCCCAAGGUACCUUCAUCUCCCCCUUGCACCAAUUGAUAACAUUGAGGGAAUCUUUUUCAAUAAUGCAAGUCGAACCUAAAAACCGGUCGCUAAGUAUUUUUAAGCCAUGAAGAAGAGUCAGAAAUUCAGCGUGAUUUGUAGUUUUCUCACCCAAAGGAUUUGAAUAAGAAAAAGAAUAUGUCCUUCCCAAUCCCUCAAAACUCUUCCAAAACCCAUUGGACCUAGAUUACCAAGCGAGCUCCCAUCAAAAUUAAGUUUCAAAACACAUUUUAAAGGAGCGGUCCAUCUCCCUUUGGGCCUAAAUUUCCUAUAACCCAGCUGGAAAAGAUUGUAUAGAUUCCUCCUAACAUUGACUUACAUAAUAUCUCUCCCCACCUUUGUGAUAGACAAAAACAUCCAAGUAGAAUGGAGUAUAUGAUCCAAACUUCUAUCUACCGGUAAACAUUUACCGUCAAACACUAUUCUAUUUCUCUCCUUCCACACCUCCCAUAAAAUUACACCUCUGACUAUUUGCCAAAUCACUACACUAGUUUGAAGUAAAGAAGAGACAGAUAAUGCUCCAAUAAUUCCUAUAACAUCUGGAGGUCAGAUCAACACCACUUUAACCUGAGCAAAAAACCAACUCCAUAUACUACUAGUAAAAGGGCAAUGUAGAAAAAGAUGAGCAUUUGAUUCAACAUCCCUUUUACAUAACAAACAUAUAUUAGACAGAAUUUUCCCUCUUUUAAUGAGAUUAUCUGCAGUCAAUACCUUGUUUUGAAUCUCCAACCACAAAAAAGCUUGGAUCUUAAGAGGAAGCGGCCACUUCCAGAUAGCAACAAUUUCAGGCAUUAACCAUCUCCAUUGAUCAUGAAAUAAUAGAUGGUCAUAGAUUUGACCGAAUAGACACCAUCUUUUGCAAUAUCCCAGACCACCUCAUCUGCUGCAUUACCGGAUAAAUACACCACAUUUAGCGCUGAUAAUAAAGCACUAAACUUUAAAAAAAGCUCAUCGAGAAUUCUAUUAUAUGGUAAAAUGAUCUUCCACUCAAUUUGAUUCCCCCUCAUCUCAAAGAGAUCCUAAAUUAACGCAUUGGGAUUACCCACCAUGUUGAAAAUCAAAAGAAACACAUAUUUUAACGGAGAGUUAUCUAAUCACUUAUGGUGCCAAAAUGAGAUAUUACUUUCAUCACCAAUUGUCUAUCUGGUAUCUCUAUGGAUAAGAGCCUUACACGAGUAAAUAGAUCUCCAACAAUGUGACAUUCUUCUUCUACCAAGCCUGACUCCAACUCACAUGUGGAAUCUAUCCUCACCAUACUUCAAGCUUAUCACUUUAUACCAAAGCUAAUCUUUAAAAGUUAAACUUCUCCACCACCAUUUACAGAGUAAAGCCAGAUUAACCAACUUGAUUUUCCUUAUCCCCAAACCCCCUUCUCCUUUUAAUGUACACACCAUAUCCCAUCUAAGAAGAUGAAAUUUUUUUGAGUCCCCCAAACGAAGUUCCUCAUAAGCAAUUCAAUCUUUCUGGUAACCAAAGAGGGAACUUGAAGAAUUGACAUCUGAUAAAUUGGGAGAUUAGCUAAACAAGCUUUAAUCAAAGUGAUCUUACCACCCAAAGAAAGAUAUUUGUAUUUGCACAAAUCAAGCUUAAUUUGAAUCCGCUAAAUCACUUUAUCCCACACUGCCACAGGCCAUCGACCAUCUGAAAUAGGCAUACCAAGAUACAUAAUUGGGAAGUGGUCCACAUUAAAACUUAGCGUUUUUGCCAAAACAGUCACCACCGAAUCAUCACAAUUGAGACACAUCAUAGAUGUUUUGCCAAAGUUCACCUUAAGGUCUAAAGCAACUUUGCAGCAUUUUAAAAACAUCCCUAUAUUACUAACCUAAUCCACAUUUGCAUCACAAAAAAGCAGCGUAUCAGCAUAUUGAAGGUGAGAGAUACAAGGACCCCAAUUUGGCAACUAGAAGCUAGCAAAAUGCCCAUUAGACUCAAUGUUUUGAACAAACAAGCUAAAGCACUCUGUAUAAAUUGUGAACAGGAAGGGAGAGAGGGGGUCACCUUGACGGAGACCCUUUAAACCCCUAAAAUAACCAAUAGGGCUACAUUUGAAUAAACUGGAAAAAUGGGCACAUAAGAGGCACCCAAAAAUGCAAUUUCUCUAUUUUCCCCCAAACCCCAUAUUCUUAAUGAUCUCUAAAAGGACGCUCUAUUCCACCCUAUCAUAAGUUUUUUCAUAUCCAGCUUGAUCACAAUUCCAAGAGCACCGUCAAGAAUCCGAGAAUGAAUGCACUCCUGAACUACCAUAACACUGUUUGUGAUCAGCCUAUCCUUAAUGAAGGUUGUUUGAGGACCCAAAAUGAUAGACAGCAAAACCACCUUAAGCCUUUCUGCAAGUACUUUGGCCACAAUUUUAUAGAUACUAGUCAAUAGGCUAAUAGGUCAUAUAUCACUUAAGGAAGCGAUCACAGAUUUCUUAAAAAUAAGUGCAAUAAGGGUAGAGUUUACACCUCUAAAAAGCUCCCCUCUACUCAUAAACCCCCUAACCAUCUCCAGAAAUUCAUUGCAAACCAAAUUCCAAAAUGUUUUUAAAAAGAUGAUAGGAUAUCCAUCCGGACCAAGAGCUUUAUCUCCUGGCAAUGAGAAUACCACUCGUUUUAAAUCAACCAAAGAGACAUCUUUUUUCAAAAAAGAAACCAAAUCAUAUGAAAGAGAAUUAAAGCCCACCCUAUGCAGCUUAGGGGUAGCUUUAAUCUCAGAGGAAAAAACCUUUUUGAAAUGUCUAAUGACCGCAUUAGACAUAUCAGAAUUAUCUUCUGGAUCAACGCCUUGAAUCAUGAGACCAGACACAUCAUUUUGUCGAGUGCGCGCAUUUGCAAUAGCAUGAAAAAACUUACUAUUCAUAUCCCCUUCCUUCAACCAUUUAACCCGAGAUCUUUGUUUCCAAUAAACUCCUUCAACCCUCCUAAGCUCAAGUAACUCCUGAGUAUAACUGUAUCUAUCAGCAAUUAACUCAUCUGAUGAAACACCGGAGCUUUGCACUGUAGAAUCCACUACAUCAAUUUUACCAAAAACUUCCUCAAUUUUGCUUCUAAUAUUAAAACCCUUCUCAUUUUUCCAAACAAGCAGCUUGUGUUUAAUAUUCAAAAGCUUAUUGUGAAGCUGAAAGUCUAGAGAAUCAAAGGAGAUGGUAUUCUCCCAAGUACUCUUGACAAUCUCAAUCACCUCUUUUUCCUGAAGCCAACUUAUUUCCAAUCUAAAAGGUUUCAGACCCUUAGAGAUAACUUUAGAGCACAGCAGGAUAAGGGUAUGAUCAGAGGAGAGUCGAGGUAAGACUUUAACAGAAGUCAGAGGGAAACACUCAGAUCAGUCACCAGAAACUAGGAAUCUAUCGAGCUUAGACAUAGAUAGAUUUAACGAACUACCAUUGGUUCAAGUAUAGACUAUAAGAAAUUGGAAGGUCAAUCAAUGCAAAAGUCUCAAUAAAUUUAUUAAAUAGUCACAGUAAUCGACCCACCACGAUUGCAUUCAUCCGGCCAUCUAAUAAAAUUAAAAUCCUCUCCUAAACAAACAAAAAAAUUAACUAAAUUAUGAGCAUCACACAUAUCAUUGACAAAAACUUAUUUUAGAUCAAAAGUUUGAGGACCAUAAGCAUUCAAUAAAGCCCCAUUUAAAAUAUGGAUAAGGGCCUACAGAAACAACCAACAGAAAGUUUGAUCUCUCUGUCACGAAAAAAUAACGAAGGACAAAAGGAUCCUAAAGAAUCCAAAGGCCCCCAAAAGCUCCAACAGAAGCCACCCCCAUAAAAUCUACAGAACCUGGACCCCAAACUUCCCUAACCCUAGACAACGUCGGGCAGGGGAGUUUAGUUUCCUGCAACAACAGAACUGGUUGUUUAAAUUUAGAAACCAGAAAACAAACAUCCUUUUUUCGUUUGAGGUCACUCGGACCUCUAACGUUCCAAGAAAUAACAAUCAUUUAAAGAUGGUUAACAGAGGAAGAACUUGGGCCCUCCCUGCUAGCACCGAAAUAAACUUCUUCUAGAAACCUUGCUUCAGCAAGACUAUCUCCAAGCAUCCCAUCCUCAGACGAAGAACCUGAGUUACCCUCGAACACUUUAUCAUCCGAAAUGAUGACUCCAUGCACAGUAGCAUUAAGCAGCAUUUCUCUUAGAGCCUGCGACCUAGCUGAGGAUCUCGUACCUUUAGAAAACACCUUAGCUUUGUUCUUCAUCUUGCCCCCUUAGGCCGAUGGAGUUUUCUCCACAGCACCUUCUGGCUCCUUGCACUCUGAGGCUUUCGCUUUUUUCUCAUCCUUUUUCUUAGCAACGAUCUCUUGAAAACAACCCCAAUUGGUACAUUGAAAUCCAUACCGCAAUCAAAAGCAUUAGCGCUGACCUUAUCCAACUAGAGUUAGUCUUAACUUCUUCCUUCGAGAGAUCCACAUCAGACUUAACUGGGUUAUCAGCCACAAACUGAAGCAAUAGAGGACGAGACUCCUGUGGGACAACAUUAAAGAGGAGGAGGAUCCUCCGUUGUCACCAAGGCAAGAUGAUCCUGUAAAUUACCCUCAAGAAUAGAGUCAUCUGCAGCAAUCAGGUUCAUAGCAUCCGGAACAACUUCAUCUACACGUUCUUCCAACACCUGGGGCUCUGGAUUCUCCUCAACGACCACAAUCGCUAAUAGAUCCACCAUUAAAGGAUCAAAAGACGGUCUUGGGGUGGAACGAAUUUGCCUAGCCUCACUGUGAUGAUAAAAGGGAUACAUACUACUAAGCAAAGAUAAUAGCAUGAUGAAAGCGCACAUAUAGAGGUGGUGCUGACUCACAACCAUGAACACCGAGAGUAAAAAAAGGCACUAGUCUUACAAACCUUAGGAGCAACAGAUAACAAAUAAGUAAUAGGGGGGCAUAGCCUUAGCUUGCAACUCCCUAUCCAUCGUCAGCGAAAAAUCCGGGGCAGCCAACCUUACAUUCCCCAAAAAUCAAGCCGAAAAGACUUCAUACAGGGAUACGUCGCUUCAGAAUGAUUUCCCCCAACAGUUUGAGCAUCCAAAACAGGUGAGCUUGCAUUACUAUUCUGACUAAUAACAUCCGCCACACCGUUACGAACAACUGAUGAAAUAGACACCGUGACUUCCGCAAAACGCCCCACUGGAAUCCAUCUUUUGUGAAUUUUCAAAAUUUGAAAAUUCGUAACUCCUUUCCUGAACUUUCGGUGGCUUCGCAUCUGUUGAAAAUUUCGAGAGCUGUCGGAAAGAUUUUUUUAGGGGCAUUCCAACCAACCCUGAACUUGGAACCUUGGCGCUGAACCACCAUCCAACCAUCCUCAACAGCAGGUUGAGGGGCCGCCUCAGGCACAGUUAGUUUUUUCCUCACCAUCGGAGAGACCCCAAUGGCAAAAGAAUAUUGGCCCACCAUCAAUCGCACAACUUUGGGGAUGGACGCCCCUCUGAGCUUCCAAAUACGAACUCUGACAACACUAACAUCAAUCCCUACAAAGGAGUCUUUGUCAACAUCACAAAAUUCCCCACAAUAAUUAGCAAUCUUUCGAAUAGUAUCCAGGGUCCAAGCAUGGAAGGGAUUACCAAAAAGACUAAUCCAAAGGCUUUCCUUCUGCAAAUAAGGCAAAUGAGCAGACAGUUUCCACAAGUCCAAAGAUAGCAACUUGCAGUGAAUCCUAACAAACUGAUUGCUCAAAAGCAACGAUAGCGUCCUCCUUGGCUCGUAGCAAAAAAAGCUAUCUUAUUGUCUCUAAUCAAUUUAACAAUAGGAGCAUAGGAUAAACCCCAUCCCCUUCUAGCCCAGUCGCACAAACCAAAUAUGUCGUUAAAAGACGGGGAAAAGGAGCCCAUAACAGGAAAACUAGCCCCUGCAAGUAGACCGGAUGAAAGAUCAUAUCUUACAUGAACAAUUGAAGCACCCAAAUAAUCAACCUCACUAUCAACAUCGCCAUCGUCUCCUCCCACCAUCAUUUUCUUCCACACUCUCUUUAUGAAAACCACUCUCUAGAGCCCAAGAACUACUUUCAAUUAGAGGCCUUUUCAAUAUGGAAAAACCUUUUCCGAUGGAUUUUUGAAGUGCGUCUUUAAUUUUGUAUUUUAAAGUUGCAACCAUAUAUAAACUUUUGUCUUUGGGCCAAAUAGCCGUUGUAGAACCUAUCUUGUCCUUGGGACUUGGUUUAUUGGAAACAAGAGAAAGUUAUGCACUAGGUUUUCAAGGUAGGUGAACGCUAGACCUAUUACCAACCCAAAUGUAACUGAAUAUCAAAUUCUCAAUAGAAAAAAUACACAUACCCCCCCCCCCCCUCCUUAAAUCACUCUCCCGAGUAAACUCUCAUGUCUAUGAGGCUCAUGAACCCCUCCAUAUUAAAAGAAAAUGACAUUUAACCUCCUUUGUUCUCUUUCAAUUUCAUUGACUAGACUAAAUUACACUAUUUACCCAAUUUUUUCCAAGAACCCUUUCAUUAAUGAAAAAGUGUUUUGUGAGUCAGCAAACUCACUAGGCCACACAAUCACAACCAUCCUUUAAGAUGAGCAUUCACCACUAAAGAUUCCUACCCAAUGGAUGAGAAAAUAUUGUAAUAAAAAUAUUCUAAAAUUUAUUAUAUUUUAUUUUAUUUUUUACAUUCAUGAUCAUCAUAGUGUAGAUCGUGGAUCAUUACAAAUUUGGGAUCCAUGAUCAAGCACUAUAAUGGGUGUUCAAGGGAGCCCGCAUGAAAAUAGUAUAGCCAGGGGACUCUUAAGAACCAGGUCCUUUAUUAAAAGGAAAAUUGUUUCAUGCGGGCUGGACCACAUUUCUAUAUAUGCGAUCCAAAAAAGUGUAAAGCAUCCAUUUUAAAGAUGGAUGCAAAUAGGUGUUCCAUCUAAAAACAAUAGAAACUAACGGUCCAAAUGUUUUAUUACUAGUAUUUUUAUUUUUAUUUUUAAAACUUAUUUAUUUUUCCAUAUUCAUAAUCUCCAUGUUUGUUAUUACAUGUUCUUAAAAAUUAAUUAUUAAAAUCCAUCUCAAGAAAAGAUUUAUUAAGAAGCCCGCAUUGCCAUGCGGGCUUGGCCACAUAGAAACAUGGUCCUUAUUAAAACCCAAGAAAAAAUCUCCCUUUCUUAUGGGACCCGCGGGAUUACCUCGGAUUAGUUUGUUUGGGAAAAUAUCUUCAUACCCCGUAUUUUUAAGUUUUAUUUCACAAUAGACUCAAGGUUUUAAAAGAUGUUUUGGAGCAUAAAAAUUGUAGAUUUUAUUUCUUCUAACCCCUAAACUGAUUUAAACAUUGUGUUUUAGGCCAAACAAAUCUAAAAAACUACAUUUUCUAAAAGUCAUCCUACCAAAUAUCUCGCUCUCUCCCAGCACCCCUUCUCUCUCUCUCUCUCUCCAUCUUUCUCAUAUCUUUCCCCUCACUCUCUUUCCUCCCGCUCUCUCUUCACGUUUCCGAAGAGUGAGAGACAUAGGAAGAAGGAGAAAGAGAGAAAUUUGGGGUAUAUAAGUGAAAAGAGAGAAAAGAUUGGGUUGGAUUUCAAGGAAGUGAGAGGUUAUCGGAAAGAGAGAAAGGUGUUUGGAGAAACAUGGGAGGAAAGAGAGACGUGUUUGGAGAAACAUGAGAGGAGCGAAACAUGGGAGGAGAGAGAGGUGUUUGGAAAAACAUGAGAGGAGAGAAAGAGUGAGAGAUGCAGAAAGAGAAAAAAGAUUGAAGCUUGGGUAUAAAAGUGAAGAGAGAUAAAUUAUUGGGUUUAAAAAGAGCACGUGUUUCUCACAUUUGUUUAGGUUAAAAUAUAGGUUUAAAGUGACAAAGGGCUUAGAAGAUAUCUUUUGAAACUUUGAGUUUAUCAAGAAAUGAAACCUAAAAAUAUGGGAUAUAUAGAUAUUCUUUCUAGCCUUUCAAAGAUGAGAGUUUACUUAUUUUUUCAUUUCUCAAUUUCAAGCCUGCGCAAUAAAUUAAAUAUGAGAAAAGUUUAUAUAGAGCUUAUCUCAAAAUUUUCAUUAGAAGAGGUUGUUUCGAUGCUCAAAUAUAUUUAAAUUGAUCAUCUCGACAUCAAUAUGAAUGGACAUGAGAAAAAAUGAUAUUUAAGUUUGAAAAAUAGUGUAUUUUAUAACGUAUUUUUAGACCGUCAAUUUUCAAGAUUUCAAUUUUUAUAAAUCUACCGAUGUACAUUAAUUUUAAAACUUUAAACUUUACAAAUAACUAUAAAAAUAUAUUUUAAAGCUAUCACCAAAAUUGUGGUGAAACCGCAUUUCGCGACACUCUUUGAAAGUAACUCUAAGGGCCUAGGUUCUAUACGAACCGCACCCAAAAAAAUUAAGUUCCCACUCCACGUGUGCAGUUUGGCGCCGAUGGAGUACCGUAGUAGGGCGGCUACGCCACGCACUGAAAAAUCAUAUCCCAAAUUUCGCCGAAAGCGAGCGGAAUUCGGAUGAAAUUUCGUUUCAAAAUUUCGUACGCACUUUGAUAGUCUGGGAUCUAGGGUUUAGAGAGAUAAAAAGGACAGCAGUUUGAUCUCCAGUGAUGCGGAAGGUGUGGCUCAGCUGGUACCGACCAACCAACAUCUGACACGUCGUAACCAAAUUCCAUCAAGGAUGUGACACGUGUAAUGUGGCGUCAGUUUAAUAGUGACGCUUGCUCCUUUUGUUUAAUGGGAGAUGCGUGCGACUUCUGCCAUCACGCCGUAACACGUGUCGGUGGCUACUUCCACUAUCUUCUCUCUCUAGCCUCGAUUACUCCAUUUAUACUUCCAUACCCCAUCCCAUUUCUCUCUCUCUCUCUCUCCUCAUUUUCCCUUCCGUUUCUCCCCCCCUCUCUUACUGCAAAGAAACCCCUUCUCUCUCUCCUCUUCUCAUUUUCCCUUCAGUUUCUCUGAUUCCCUCUCUUACUGCAAAAGCGCAUCCUCUCUCUCUUCUCAUUUUCCCUUUAGUUUCUCUCUCUUCUCAUUUUCCCUCUCGUCCCUGCCUCUGUGCAAAGAAGCCUCAUCUCUCUCUCUCUCUUACUGCAAAGAAGCUUCAUCUCUUUCUCUCUCUUCUACAAGGUUCUACUUUGAUUCCUCCCAUUUUUCUCUCUUGUUUUCAGAUACUUAAUUUGCAAAGCUUUCUCUCUUUAAAACACAGAAAACCGGCGCGGCCGCGAUUAACAUCUUCCUCUCUCUACAACUCUGCAACUCACCUAACUUUGAAUCUCGAAGAAUUCUCAAUACCUUUCGCGUUUUGGAAGGCUUCAACUCCUUCUCUAUCAUUUUUCACUACCCCUCUCUCUCUCCCGGCCUGAGGGGGAAGGCUUUCUCUCUGGGCUUGAGAGGAAGGCAUCUCUCUCUAGGCUCCAGGGGUGGAGAGGAACUCUCCCUCUCUCUUUAAUCUCUUGCUCCUCUUUCUUAUCUAGAGGGUCCAUCUCUCUAAACACCUCUCCCCCUUGUCUCCAGGACUCUCUUUCUGCUUAGCCCCUCUUUAGGCUCUCCGCCCCAUCUCCCCAUCUCUCUAGGCCUGUCUCUCUCUGAGUAGCCCUCUCUCUCUCUCAGCUGAAACGCUCCUUCUCUCUCUAGGGCCAGGGCCUUGCCUAUAUGAAAGCGAAGCAAUCCUCAGCCAACCGUAACACCACUCGAGGAGUGGCCCAAAGGCCCACUCGCAAAUCUUUAUUAACGCAUGGUCGCACCACCAGAAGGGCUCCAGCCCGCCCUCAUCCACCACAAUCGCCAAGACCCAAAUCCAUCGUCCCAAUGGACGGCGGCUUUGAAUCUGACCCACUUGCCGAAACCACCCAUUUUCCAGCCAUCCCCACUGCCGGAAUUUCCCUUUUUCCGGCCACGGCCACCUCCGACGAGGACUGUGCUCAUCCCUUGAGGACAGAUUCCAGCAGUUCCAUGUUUGGCUCUGAUGACAGCCGGAGCACCACCACAUCUGGCCGCACCACUGGUAGCUCCGGCUCCUGCACGGCGGACAGCGUCCCGUCAGAGACUGAGGCAGCCGCCGCCGUGGCCUCCCUCUCCGUUGAGGAUCUUAUGGUGGCGGAGUUCGACGCCGUUAGUAAGAGAGAUGACGUCGUCAGUUAUAGGUGUGAAAUCGUUGGUGACAGAUGUGACGUCGUCAAUGAUAGUCCUGACGCCGUUAGUGGAAGAGGUGACGUCGUCAGCGAACCAGUCAGUGAUCGAUGUUACGUCGUUGAGGGGAGAGAGGAGAGGGUUAGGGAGAGAUGUUUGGGAAAGGGGAGGGCGCUGGCCUGGGGGUCGACUUCUGUGAUAGGGGGGAGAAUGGAGAUGGAGGAUGCGUUUGCUGUGUUGACUGGUUUUCUCAGGGUGGCUUGUGAGGUGGUGGGCGGGUGCGCGGCGAUGGGGUCGAGGGACUCCUGUGAGCCAGCACCGCUUGGGUUCUUUGGGGUCUACGACGGCCAUGGCGGACCGCAGGUUGCCAACUUUUGUAGUGAGAGAAUGCACUCCGCCCUAGCGGAGGAGUGGGAAACGAGGAGCGGCCCCGCCUCUCCAUCAACCGAAGGCUGGCAAAAAUGGUGGGAGGGGGCUCUGUCGCGAUCAUUUCUAAGGGUGGACGGCGAGAUCACCGGCGCUGGAGACGAGGUGGCGGCCCUAUCCGCCGCCGCUGGGGCCGCGGAGCCAAUAGCACCGGAGAUAGUGGGGUCCACUGCGGUGGUGGUAGUGGUUUCAGGGUGUCAGAUCAUCGCGUCCAAUUGUGGCGACUCUCGUGCCGUUCUCUGCCGCGGAAAUCAGGCCAUCCCCCUCACCCUUGAUCACAAGGUUCCGCUCCUCUCCUCUCCUCUCCUCCGAUCACAACAAAAUAAUAAUAUUAAUUAAUAAAAGACGAAACUCUUUUUCUUUAUUUGCUUUUUUAUCUCCAGAAAGUAAUAAAAAAGAGGAAACUCUACUUCUUUAUUUUGCUUUUAAGCCCUUUUUCGCUGGUACUGUUUUCAUCUUUUGGCCGAAACCAAGAGCCAUCGGUCCACAAAAAAAGGACCAACUCAAAACAAAAAAAAAAAAACCAGUUUAUUUUUAUUUUGUAUUUCGCAUUUCACAGACUCUCUAUUACCUUUCUAUUUAUUCGUAUUUUAUUUGGAUAGGGGUUUAAAACGUAGUUGGUUUUGUCCUCAGAUUAAUAAAAAAAAUUGUCUUUUAAUGUAUUUUUUUGAAAGAAAUUUGUUCUUUUAAGCUUUUUUUUUAGGAAAAUUUAUCAAAAUAUACCUGAACCAUUUGACAAGCUUAAGUGUAUUUUUAUAAAUUUUUAAACUCCUUUUUAAUGUGAAAUUUUAUCAAAAAAAUUACGCGCUAUUAAAAUUAAAUCAAGCAUGUAUUUGAAAUUAAAAAAAAAAAAAAAGAAGAUCGAGUUUCGUAUAAUUUAAUAGAUUUCUCUUUAAAAAAAGAAAAGUCACAAGGGCAUGGUAUCAAGUAAUUGUUGCCGGGGAAUUUUCAAAAUUGCAGACGAAUUAUUGCAAUUUUCUGCGUAGUGUUUGCAUGAAUAAUUGAAAUUUAAUAUGAGAAAAUUUUAUAUGUUUGUAAUUUAUUUGUUUGUGUGUAUUGAAAUUGCGGACAAAUUUUUUCAAUUUUCUGCGUAAUGUUUGCAUGAAUAAUUGAAAUUUAAUAUGAGAAUUUUUUAUGUUUGUAAUUUAUGUUUUUGUGGAUAUUGAAAUUAUGGGCAGCCUGAUCGAGAGGACGAGCUAGAGAGGAUCGAAGCGGCCGGUGGGAAAGUAAUAAACUGGAACGGCUCACGUGUUUUCGGAGUCCUCGCCAUGUCGAGAGCCAUAGGUCCACCGAUUCACGCCCUUUUAUUUUAUUUUAUUUUAUCCUAAAAUAAGUAAAUAAUCAAUUUUUUUCUUUACUUUAAUUAAUGAGAAAAAUCAAAGAAGGUGCCAACCUUUAUUUUCCAUUUCCUCCCUUUCUCCAAUCUUUAUUUGUUACGAAUGUGCAAUUAUUAUUGGGGUGCAGUUGGCAUACGCAUCCGUAGCUGUAGAGGUAAGGUGGGCCUUCAAAUUUUAUCAUGGAAUACAAUUUUGAUGUAAAAUGUUUAUAGGAUUAUUUUAAAAUCUAUUUUUUAUAUUUAAUUAUAAAAUUUUAAAUUUAAAAAAUAAUUAAAAUCAAGUAGAUUUAUAAAUAUAUGAAAAUCUUAAAGUCUUAAAAAUGGAUACUGUAGAUAAUAUGUUGUAAAAUGUGUAGAUAAUAUGUUGUAAAAUGUAGAUAAUAUGUUGUAAAAUGUGUAGAUAAUAUGUUGUAAAAUGAACUAUUUUUUAGACUUAAUUUUUUUUUAUUUUUCAUGAUCAUACCUCUCGAUGUCGGGAUGAUUGGGUUUUUCACCAUUAAAACUACUUUUUCAUACGGAUUUUUGAGGUGCAUCCGUAGCUCUACAUUAUAAGCCGUAUAAAAGCUUUUUUCUUAUUUUAAUUUGAUCUCCCAAAUUUGGUCCAGCGGUACUACUAAAAUAUUUUUGCUUUGGCUGCUGUACAAAGUGUGGUGGUACAGCGGCGCCACCCAUUGAAUUGCCCAAAAAAAAAAAAUUAUAAGUUUUUUCGAUUUUAAAUCUUGCGCAGGCGACAGGUAUCUAAGGCCGUCGAUAAUCCCGGACCCGGAGGUAAGCUUCACGCCGCGAACCGACGAGGACGAGUGUUUGGUUGUCGCCAGCGACGGCCUGUGGGACGUGGUCUCGAACGAGGAGGCUUGCCGGGAGGCUCGCCGCGUGCUGUCUCGGCCCAGCCGGGUGUUGCGUGAUGAAUCCGCGCCAACGCCAUCGCCAUCACCUGCUCAGGCUGCGGCCGAGCACUUGGCCAACCUUGCCAUGCACCGCCACAGCUCCGACAAUAUCACCAUUAUCGUCGUCGACCUCAAACAUAGAAGAAGGCGCCUGCCACAGAGAUAAAUAGUAGAUUUUCUCUCUUCUUUCUUCAUUCUCUUCCUACCGGAAUUUGCUGUAUAGAGUCUGAUGACGGGAUUUUAUCCCUCUCUCUAGCGAGCUGUUAAAAGAGAGAUUCCUGUCAUGGAACUUUCUCACUCUACCUGCUUGAAAUGACAUUCACUACAGCGACUGUCAAUUUCUCUUUCUCUGCUGUUUACAUCGAUUCUCUUUCUGCAAAUGCAAGAACUUUGCACGAGAAGAUAUUCAUUAGAGGGACUCUCUACAGCGGGAAUUGAGGUUUCAGACUGUAAGAUCGGGUCUCAUUAUCCUUGGAGAUCAUUUCUUACUAUCGCUGGAUUUAGUCCAGAGUUUUGGAAGUCGGAGGAUCUGUGUGGUUUUACGCCGUUCUCUUGAGUUUUUGUGGUAUAUAUAUAUGUGAAAUUGUAAGGCUUUUUAUACGGUUUUUGGAGGUGGAUCUUCUUCACUUUGAGAAGGAAGCUUUGUUUGCACAAGAUCUCCUUUGGUUUCAGGAGAUCGAAGACUGUAAUUCUUCACAAAAUGGAAAGCCAUCGCAAUGAAAAUAUUUAAGAACAGGUAUUUUCACAUUUCGUCGUUCACUCGCUGUCUCAAAUUCUUAAUUCCUUAUAGCUUUUCUUCUUGUUUUCUUCUUGAAGCUCGACUCCAUAACCUCUUUUUGUACACCGGAAUCCUUUUUUCCGGCCGGGAAUCGUUCGGAAAACCGCACAGAGGUCUCGUUUUCGCCGGUAAAUGACUGCUGUGAUCCGCUAUUGGCGGAAAAGAUUAGGGUUUGUAAUUUUGCGGCUUUGUGUCUUGGAUGUGCCGAGUUGGCUUUGUCAGCAUUCCGACACGUGUACGGUGCAGAUCUGUACAGAACGUACAGACACGUGUCCAUAGCAAGACUGUCCUGUCGGCUUAUUUUUAUGCCCUGUCGCUCCAUGCGGGGCCCGCGUCUUAAAUUCAUGUGAUUGCGUUUUCGCCCUUACUCUGGAAUUGACUCCAGUAAUGAAUAAUAUUAAUUGCCUUGGACACGUGGGGAUAUUCGAUUCGAUAUCCUUGAGCUGCGAUCUCAACCGUCCACGUAUGAACAUUGGAGUCAUCGGGGUCGACACGUUCCCAAACUUUUGCUUUAAGUUGGACGGGGGAAUCUACCAAGAAAGAAGCAGAAAGGGUAGUGGAGAGCGUGGGGCCACGUGGCUUCCUUAAAAUAAAUUGAAAACAGAAGUGGGCCCAUCUCGAUGGAAGGAUACAUAAUUUUUUGUUCCUAUUUUACCCUUGAUCUUCUGUUCUUAUUUUGCCUGAUAUCCCACCUCUUAAUUUCCAACUUUUAUUUGUAUAAGAUGAAUUUUCCAGUGCCUUCAUUAUGGAUUCAUUGAGACACGUGAUUAAAAAAAAAAAGGAUCGGUGACCCGAUUGAGCACCUCAAGAAUCUUAUUAUUUUAUUAUUUGAACAAAAAGAAGUAAACUUGUGAAAAAUCACGUGAAAAAUCAUUGAUUCGGCCAAACAACAGUCAAAAUCGGUGAAUCAGUAGUUUAGAUUGUUGUAUUACAAAGAAAUGUUCUUUUACUGGAUGGAACUGUUGGUUUUUUUAUAGACCCGAUUGUUUUUCUAUAUACAAAAUUGAAACAGAAUAAUUGAUUUUCAGAUCGGAUCAAGUGAUUUUGUAUUGACCAGGUUUCUUUUAAAUCAUCGAUCCAAAAAAUCAUUGUGGCCCACUUUGCCCAAUACAUAAAAGGAGAAAAAAAAGAGGAAUGUUUCAAUACGUCUCGAUGGGGUGGAUAGUCUUACCGUCUCAAACUUCCAAUCAUUCAUAUUAGUUUGAAUAUGUAAUUUUGAUAAAUAAAAAGUAAAAAAACAGUUGGGAUUUAUUUUUAUUAAGGAAUUCAAAUAAAUAUUAGAUAAAUUUAAAAUAAAAAAAAAAAAAUUACUUAAGAAAGCUAGAGUUGGUAAUGGACUCUUUUGGAAUUGGUUUUGGUCGGGUGAUUCCCAAUCUAAAUAGAUAGGUUUUAGCAGUGUGUUUGAGAGGUCACUUAGAUGGUUUGUGUUAUCAAUAAGAUUGAGCGUUUAGCCACCUCGUUAUUUUUUCUCCAUUUUGUGGUGGCGUUAUUUUCCAUGUUAGUUUCUCGCUACGAAGUUUAGGUGCCAUUUCCGAAUUCUCCCUUGAAAGGGCUCUUUGAGCCCGGCUAGAAACAAUGUAGGGUAUGCUUAGGCUUAGGCUUAGGCUUAGGCUUAGGGCUGGCAGUGGACCGUAUUCGACUCGGGACUUUGCAGAUAUACAGGUCUAGGUGUGGGUUUAAGUUUUGGAACCACAUAUAUAAUCCGGGUUUAACAUAUCAUACCCUAAUUAUCUCGGGUUCAAGUACGAGCCCAGCAAGAUGCUACCCAUAACUGAUUUGUAUUUAUAAAUUAAAAAUAAUUAAUAAUUAAUUAUAAUAAUACAUCCAUCACCAUCCAUUUAACUCAUCGAUUUGAACCUUUUUUUUUUUUACCUAAAUCCCACCUUUAAAUCGUUUCAUCAUCCCCAAACCCCACCGUCAAGCCAAACCCUAGCCAAACCUCUCUGCUUCCUAGAGAGAGAAGAGAAACGCUCACGUCACAGGCCCCUUCUUCAUAGUAAAGAGCCCCGUCUUCUCAAUCCCCGUCGCCAAACCCUAGCCUCCUCUACAACUCAGGCAUCUGGAUCUGCGUCUUCGAGGAUUUGAUUCCAGGUGGGGUGCCGUGCCGGAAAAUCAGCUACGGGGCUUUGGUUUAGAGAGAGUGGUUCCGAGCUCAGAUAAAGGUUCAGAAAACUUUGUUGCAGGGUCGAAAGAUGUAACUGGUUUUCUUGGACAUGAGGCUGAUGUUGUGUUCCGAGAGAUGUGGGUCCUCUGAUUUGCAGGUGCGAGAUGAAAAUGCGUAUGAGCUUUAGAGAGGACCCUCUAUGGGUUUGGGGGUUAGGUUUUCUCCUUGGGUUUUGAAAAUGAGAGGGCUUGUGGCUGUCUCUUUCAUGGUAUCUGUCUUUCUCUCUCUCCAUUUCUCUGCUUCUAAUUCUCUCUUUCUCACUGUCUCUACAUGUCUUUGUCUCUCUCAAUCAAUCUCAGAGUGAAGGUGAAUGGUGUUUUGUUUGUAGAGAUUUACUAUGGAACUUGAAUUAGGAAAUGGACUCUCUUCCAUUCUUUCUUGAGUGGAAUUUGUGGCAUUGUUAUCGUAGAAAUGCUUUUGAUAUGAAAAUUGGAAAUUUCUCUCUCAAAAAAAAGAGGGAGACAGAUACUCUGUCACAGAGAAGGAUUUCAUGAGCACUGAGGAGCUGAGAGAGAGAAGAGGAGCUUAGAGAGAGAGGGGAAGAGAGCAUUCCUGGUAUGGGUCGGGCCCCGGGUCCAAACCUACAUUCUAGGUUCGGGUACGGGGGUGGGGUACUCUUGAACCAUCAGGUCAGAUUCGGAGUAUGGGCCCAACCCGUACUAUUUGCGUCCAGGUACGAGUCCAGCUGAACUCGACCCAUACCGGACCAGUUGCCAACCCUACUUAGGCUAAUGCGUAGUCUAAAAUUUUGGUUCGGAUCGUGGUACGCCUUAAUUUAUGGCAUGUUCGGAUCAAAAUAAGAAAUUGAUCUGAAUCACAAGUCUUGUAUAAAUCUUAA